AUUGACCCGGAUCCGACCCGGAAACCCGCGACCUUGACACGAUUGUAUCUCCCGAUUCCGGCCACCUCACCGGCCGAGCUUGGUAUCGAUCUGAAGCUUGGAAGCCGACCGUUAUAUCCCAGCUGUCCUCGUCGCCGGAAACCGACUAGAACGCCGGCGAUUUGAGCUCGAAAACUCGCGGCCAAAACCCGUUUUCCCCGCCAUCGAUUUCGCCGGAGUUUGGGCACACUUCCAGCUAGGUUCUACUCCUCACGUCACCAGCAUCAUUUUCCGACCAACCUCGUGACCCGAAACGGCCGGAUUGCCGGCGAUCAACCACUUGGGAAGCUCGCGGUUUUGGAAGCUCGAUUUGCCGCUGUUGCCGCGCGUGGGAGGUCACCGCCGGCACCAUUGGACUCAGCGUGGCUUGAAAUUUCAGUUCUGAGCUUCCCGUUGCCGUCGGAUGAAUUCCGGUGACCGUUGACCGGCAAGGGUAUUUUGGUAAUUUCACAGUCUAAGGGCAAUUUUGUAAUUUCAGAUUUUGUGGGUAUUUUGGUAAUUGCUGUAAUUGAGGAUAAAGUUGGUAAUUUAUGAUUUUGAGGUUAAUUUGGUAAUUUUGAUAUGAGGGUAUUUUGGUAAUAUUGAAUUCAAGGGCAAUUUGGUAAAUUCAUAAACUUGAGGGUGAAUCUGUAAUUUGUGGAAUCAAUGGAUAAUUUGGUAAUUUUAAGUUAGGGCAGUGAGGUAAUUUGAGAUUUCGAGGGUAAUUCGGUAACUUAAGUUGUUAAGGACAUUUUGGUAAAUUUACGCUCCGAGGGUAAUUUCGUAAUUUUUGACAUUGUGGUUAUUUAUGUGAUCUGAAUUAAGGACAAUUUGUUAAUUGAAGAUUCUGAGGAUAAUUUGGUAAAAUAAUGAUGUUGGGGGCAUUUUGGUAAUUUUGGUAUGUAGGGGUAUUUCGGUAAUUUUGUGCAUGCGGGAAUAGUUUAUUGUUGAUAGAUAUUCGUUUCGAGAUUUAUUAUAUAAAAUUGGUUGUAUUUCAAAGUUACGGAGAAUGAUUAUGGCGUUUCCUUGAUUAGGAGGAUUCGCAAACGAGAAUUUAACCCGCGGACGUUGUCGACACCGAGUCUGGACAUUGUCACUGUGAGUGGAAUAUACAAAACCUAUUUUCAAAGUACAUGAUGAUUUUAUGAUACAGUGCAGUAUGUUUUGAUAAAUAAGUGUUUAAUGCUUCGAUUUAAUGAUUUUCUAGAAAAUUGAUUUUUAUUUAUGUGUUGAUAUUUAUUGUUAUUGAGAAUGAGUUUGAUUAAUGAUUUUACUAUCGAUUUUGAGUAAAUGCAUGAGAUUAGAAUUGAGUAGAUUUGAGAUAUGUUGAAUAGAAAGAAAAUGAGAUUUCAGAUGUGAUUAUAUGUUAAUGUACAUGUGUAUAAAUGUUGUUUUUGAAAUCAUUAGACAGUACCCUUCCCUCUAGAUACAGAGAUACAGAUAUGAGAUACAGAUCAGUUAUUGAGAUACAGUGAUACAGAUAUGGGAUACAGAUCAGUUAUUGAGAUACAGAGAUACAGUGAUACAGAUAUGAGAAACAGACAGUUGAGAUACAGGCCUUUGGGGCCCGUCUGAGUACACACAGAGGCUUUGGGCCGUGUACUUGGGCGCUUUUGUCCUUUGGGGACUAGAUUAUGCAUGCAUAGAUAUGAUGAGAUAUGAGAUAGUAUUUCCCUAUCUAUCCAUGUAGCUCCGGGGCGUGACGUUACCUAGAUAGUGCGUCAUUGCCCGUCCGUUGAGGUCCAGAUAUGAUAAGCUUUUUUCCCAUCUAUCCGUUGUAGCUCCGGAGCAUGAUGGUUCCUUGAUUGCCCGUCCGUCGAGGUCCGGAUAUGAUAAGAUUAGUCCCCUGGGUACUUGUUUGAUGAUAGUUUUUGGUAUUCAGUAUUUGAUAUGAUAAGUAUUAUAAUUUCAUCGAUUUUAUGCAGAUUUAUGUAAUAUAGUAUUUCGGUGAUUGAUUUGACUUAAAUAAGUUUAUGUAAGUUCUUAUGAUAUUUUGAUGAAAUUGAUUUGAGAAAUUGAUUUGAGAAAGAUUGAAUCAUUUUAAAUAGAUUUAUUUAUUUGUCAAAAAUUACUAUCCACUCAUUGAGCUUACUGAGUUUUAUACUCAUCCCGUUUUUAUUAUAUUUUCCCCCGCCCACAGGAGAUUUGCAGGUACAUCAGUCGACCCAGUAACGAUAGUUAGAUUUGAAAUUGUGGCCACAUGAUGGUGACAGGAUGUCGUAGAUUUAAUUAUUUUGAUAUUUGGGAUAUUGCGAAUUGUAUUUAUUUAUUAUAUUUUGUAAUUAAGGAUAAUCAUUGUAUUUUAACAUUAGAAUGAUUUUGGGUGGUAUUUGGUAUGUUGGCUUGAGAAGUCGGUUGUGGAGGAUGGAUGAAUAUUGAAUUAUUUUGGAAGUAUUGUUUUGUAAAUUGCAGGUUGAGAAUUAUAAUAUGAACCGAUAUCUAAAGGUCCGGCUUCUAAAUCAAAUAAAAGCUUAUUCAUAAUUAACCCCCGGCGAUGCCCAAAAACUCUAUGAACAAAUUAUUAUACAAGCAAGUUACUGCAUAAUUAUAUUUCUUAUUCGUGGAUAGCACUUGUAAUAAUUCAACUUGAUUUUCUUUCAAUGACGAUUAUAGCAUGAUUCAGUCAUUCUAUUCACGAUAAAUUUUUAUUUUUUUCGUGUCCUUUUGCACCUUGGCAUCAAAGCACAAAGUACAAGGGGCAAUUGUUCGAUAUGAACUUCAUCACCGGCAUGGUUAACAGUAACAUGGCCCAAUAAGCAAGCCCAAGUGAAAAAGGACCAAAGGGCAGCCCAAUAUUGUUUCCGCUCUUGACAUCCAGGAAAUCAAGCAAGACUCAAUAAAAACACAUUUAUUAAAUAUUAUUUUUUAUUUUAAUUUCUCAAAAGAAUUGAUAACAAAUAGCUAGGUUGAGGAGUAUAUGUGAAUUACAAAAAAUCAUAAUAAUAAUUAUCUUCGUAAAUUUACUGAUAACAUUUUCUAAUUGAAUAAGGGUAUUUUCUAAUUGCUAUUCGGCUUGCACAAUUAUCUUCAACACUUUGUAGGCUUGGUUGCUUGGUCGUUUUGAUUUGUAGACUUGUAAUGGAUUCAGAGAUUUUUGUUCUUUGAAUAGUGGGGUGUUCCUUUCGGGGAAAAAGGGAAAAAAAGAAAAAAAGAAAAAUAGAGCGAUGUUGGCUAAGCAAGGUUGGUGAAUGGUAUUUGAACAUUCUUUGGGCUGAAAGCUCGAUACUUUAAACACAGUUCUUUUCUUACCGCAAAGCAUGGUCAUAACCCUUUUCUUAUAUCUGUUGAAGUCUUCUAUGAGGGCAUGGCGUUCUUGAACGAGGUAUUUGGUGACAUAUUAAGUGUGGGUCACGCAACUCACAAGUGGAUGUCUAUCACGGCAAUUGGAUUCCACUGCUCAAAUAUUUUCGCGCAGUCUCUAGUGCUUCGUUUUGAUACAAAAGUGUCUCCUUGUGCCAAUGGAUAGUAAUCGUAGGAAUAAUGCUUUGUUGCGGAGUAUUUUGUGCCGAUGGAUGUUGAAUCCAUUUUUUGAAUUCAUUUGCCUAGUACUCCAACGGCUAAUGAGGUGUUACGACAUUUUGCGAAAGAUGGCAUUUCUACUGUUAAAUAAGGGUGUCUUAUGUCUUUGGCUUGGGAGAAUAUGGAUGUUGCGAAAAAUUCUAGUAGUUCUUCAAGGGAUCGGAAUAAGAUCUGGCAUUUAAAUGUUCUUUGGAAGGCCAAAUUCUUUUUGUGGCAGGGUUACAUAGUUAUGUUUCAUUUAGUUAACGGCUAUUUGAAUUGAAGAAAGGGUUUGAUGAAUACAAACAUAGGACAGUGCAGAGAUCGAAACCAAACUUUAUGUUAGUGUAAGGUGCCCAAAAUCUUUUGCAUCGCUGCACUGCUUAAUUCAAAAUGUUCUUACAAAUGCCUUUGGCGGUCGGUCACAAUUUAAUAUAUUACCCAAUGGUGUUCUGUGUCAAACUCUAUUUUGAGAUUUUUGUGUUGAACUAUUCUUCUAUGGAUGUUUGGCAAAUGGUUUUGAAGGUUUUUGACACUUUUGGAGGACUGAUCUUGAAUUCUUAUGUCAAUUAUCAUGCUUUAUAUGGGUUGAGUGGUUCUACAGGAAUAGAUAUCAAUUGUCACACACGCACACAAUUACACGCACACGCUUAUAUUUGCAAUGUUGUAAAUAUUUUACAACACUGAUUUUAUGUCAAAACAAAGUUAAGUUUAUAGUUUAAUCACUACGGCUUCCAUCAAAACAAAAUCCUGAAUCUGCCGUUGACUAAGAAUGCUCGAGACUUUUUUAUUAAAUGAGGUCCUGGGGAUAAAAUCUUAGGUGAAACAAUCCCAUAGGACCCGCACCGUCAUCAUAUAGAUGUGGUGAGAUUUUCUGAUUUUCAAAUUUAAAUUUGACAAACAUGAGAGACAAUGAUGGUGGGACUGAAAAUUUAAAUUUAAUUGGACGGUGCCAUCCCUCUCUCAUGUUUGUCAAAAUUUAAUUAAUUAAAUAGUUUAACAUAAGUUUUUUUCAACAGCAAGACAAUGUUUGUUUUAAUGUAAAGUCAGUGUAUUACGUCAAAGCGAGAAAGGAUUUGCUAUUGGUUUAAUAAUAUGGUUUGACACUAAACUGAUUUAUUAUUGUGAUAAUUGUCUUAUUUUUCUUAGUUAUUUUGCGAAUGUGAUUAAACCGAUUAAAUUGGUUCUCUUUAAUUUAGUUUAGCAUAUACAUAAAUGUAUCCCUAUAGCAAUCUCUACGGAUAAUACACUCGCAGAUUGAUCGGUCAAACUCUCGCAAAGUUUUAAAAAAACUGAAGUAACAAAAAUAAAUUAGUCCGAUCAUUGACCUGACUAGGCUGGAAUGCAAACAUUAGCAUGUGGGUUCAUUUUUUUUUUUCCAAGUAAAUUUUUUUUAAUCUCUACAGUGUGAGUAAACAGCAAUGCAAUUUAUACCACACAAGUAAAAAUAAUUGAAGAAAAUAAAUAAUAUGAAAUAUAAGAAAAUUAAUGAUAAAAUAUGGUUAUAUUGGUUUGAAUAAGAAAAAUAUUUUCGUAUAAGAAUUCCAAUCUUAUGCAAUUUAUACCACAGGAGGAAAAAUAUAUAAUUAAUUCAAUCCAACUUAUUCUAAUUAUUAUUAUUAUUUUGAAUAUAUAAUUAUUAUUAUAUAGAUGUGGAAAAAUAUAUAAUUAAUAUUGCCAGUAUCGCAUACAGUUGCAAAGCUACAGCCACUACUAAAAAAAUGACCUUUACUAACACUUAGUUUCUGACACUUUAUAAAAAGUAUCAGUAAUUAUGUACAUAUGCACCAUUUUCCGCUUUUAACAAACAAAUAUUAUAAAUUAUUGAUACUAACGUGUCAGUAAAUUAAAUAUUAAAAAUCACUGAUACUAAAGUAUCAAAAGUUUAAAAAAAAUAAUUAGAAUUUGUAAAACUUUGAACUCGAACCUAAGACUUCUAAAAUUUAAAAUACUUAUGUUUGUUCCGCAAACCAUCAGACCGAUAGAAUUAAGACCCAAAUAUUAUAUUAAAAGAUUAAAGAACAAAAAUUAAAAAACAAAAUCCCCAAUCGAUCUCUUCCCCUCAUUUCGUCUAAGUGAAUAAAACUUACAAACGAAAACUUACAAAAUCCCUAAAUCUACCACGCCGCCGACGCACCCAAAACCUCUCCUAUCACUGCCGUCACUCGACUACCCACUGCCGUCGACUCCCAUGCACCAAAGUCUGGUCUCUUUUGCUGUCAUCAUCUCCUGUGCACCAAAGUUCAAAAUCCCCUGUCGUGAAAGUUCAAAAUCCCCUGUCGUGAUUUAUGAUUUUGUGUCAUCAUCGGUAAUAAAUCCACUGUCGUCAUCACCCUAAGGUCGUAACAGCUUCCACCCAUCAUCAAUACUCAGCUAUUCAUCAUUGGUAUAAUAUAUCAGCCUUUGUGGUCGCUGUUGUACUACCUCAAUCUCCGUCGUCGCUUCCGUACUGCCUCAAUCUCUAUUCAAGGUAAGCUCAAUCUUAUGACUGCCUCAAUCUCUGCCUUUUUUAAUUUAUUUCUUUCAUUGGUCUUCUUUCUGUGCUCUCCUUAAUUUCUAAUUGACUACAAUUACAAAUUAAGAUUUAUUUUGAUAAUUUUGUUAUAAUUAUUAUUUUGACGAGAUCAAAUUUAUUUUGAAAUAUUUAUAAAGAAAUUUUAUUUUUCUGUCCAUUAUCGCCAACUUAUUACUUAUACAUGCGACGUGAUAGAAUUUACUUACCGCACACAUUAACUAUACUGAUUUUGAUGAAGUAUUGCUCUUGAACAUGUACUAGAAUUAUUGUUGCAAUGAGUCUUUGAUUAUCGACAUGUUAUUAGCAUCUCUUAAUAGAAAUAUCUAGGUUAUCCAUGAUGACUUUAAAUUGAAAAAUGGGCUUAAUUGAAAAUGGCAUGAUGGGCAAAUAAAAGUCAUGAACAAAAAAGUGAAGUGGAGGGUAAAUGCAGUAGCAUUAGGCAUCUGGCGGCAGUAGAGGCAAGUAGGUGGAGAUGGUCCUGGUGGGUAUUGUAAUGUAAUAAAGAAAAAAGGAGUGGGUUGCAGUUGUAGUUGCCUAUUGUAGAGUGAGAGGGACUCAUGAACCCUUUUGUAAUAUUAACAAAUAUGUACACACAUAAGCUAUACAUUUGUCUAUGUGUACUUAAUUCAACUAGAUUUGGAUUGCUAUGAAGUCGGGUAUGAAAAUUAUGUUUGAUUUUAGUUUUCAAUGGAAAUUUCAAAGAGAAUCCCACGCCAUUGAAAUUUCAAACAGGGAGGAGAGUUAAAUGGUUGUUUCCCUUUUUUCUAUUUGGUUCUUCCCAAGUUGAAAUGAAAACGAACAGUAGAAUAACAUGGUCUUGAUUGGGGUGAGCAUUUGACUUGGUUCAAUCCAAACUGAAUCUAAUUGAGCUGUAUUAUGGCAGUUCGGUUCAAUUCGAUCAGGCAAUAAAAAUCAAAUGAUUCAUGUGAUUUAUUUAAUCUAUAAUAAAUAUGAAUAAAAGUGUAUUUGAAAAUAAGUGUAAUAUUAUAAACUUAUGUUGUUAGGGGAAUUAUUAGAGAUUACAAAAAUGGUAGGAGAUAACAGUAACAGAAAAAUUGGCAAUCUACCUUGGGAAAAAUGAAGAGAAUAAUUCUUCUUGCUGCAUUUCUAUUGUCAGCAUUUGGUUUUGCUACGAGUAUGUAUACUUAUAUCAUGGGAAGAACCAGAACUGCAACUAGAGUACAUAGGCAGAUGCAACUAGUUAGGACUGCGGAAAUUUCUUUCUCUGUGGUUCAAUUAGUUGUUACGCUUGCUAAUUUUAUUCUGGCAGAAUUGGGUGUCAAAAACAGCUUUGAUGCAUAUGUUUUCUCACUAGUCUUUGCUAUAAUUGUUGCUGCAUUUAAUAUUAUAUAUGCUGGGGGAGUUUCCAAUUCAUCAGGCUUUGCCUCUCCUAUUGCCCCAGCUGCUGAUCACCAACUGUGAAAUUCCCAGGUAUGAUUGUGAAUAUAAUUGUAAAUAUCAAGCUGCACUGGGGGAAUUCAUGUAAGCAACUCAUCACCUCUAUUACCUCCUACAAAUUUAAAUAAACUUGUGUUAGAAUAUAUGACGGCAUGGCAAUUAUGCUCGAGUCUAGGAUUAAUUUGUUGUCCCUUGGCUAAUUCUAGCCAUAUGCUACUUGAUCCUAGGCUAUUAUAUGAAUCAAGGCAUUCAUUUAAUGUAGGGGCUCACUAACUAUAUAACCCCUCUUUUGUACAUUCUUUUAUAUGUUGAAAUACAACUUUGCAUCAAUUGUCUCUCUUUUACUUUUUAGUUUGCUUUCUUUUUGUCUUAUUACAAGUUGCAUGAGUCGACAAACUUUUGAAGUGUUGUGGAAGAAGGCAAUAUAAAAAUUGUGAGAUUCCAUUAACUUAAAUGCAUUUGUAAAUUAGUAAUUCAGUCGUUAAAUGACUAUAAAAGAUUUAUUUUAUAAUUUAUAUUUAUAAUGCUAGAGUGCCUCUGUUAGAUUUAGAAAUCUUUUAUGUAAUUAACGAUUGUUUUUGUAGUACUAUGGCUACAUCAGAGCUGAUAUCAAAUAUUUGAUUGUUUGUAUCUUUUGUAGGUUCAUAACCCAAGUAUUAUUGCUGAGGACGUGGAAGCAAACAACAGCUUGUCUAUGGCCUCAUGUACAGAUCAUCAAUUGCAGAAUAUCCAGGUAUGAUUGUGAACAUAAAUGAAUCAUCAAGCUGCACUGGGUAAAUUCACAUAAACAACUUAUCACCUCUAUGAGUUCCUACAAAUUUAAAGAAAGUUGUAUGAGACGUUAAGCUUUUGAAAUAUUGUGGAAAAAGGAAAACUAAAAGUAAAACAACAUGCCCUUGAUUGGCCUUUUGUCUUUUUUCAGGGCUCUUUAUUUUGUUUAAUGCCGAGUUACAAUUGGCAAAAUGAGUUGUUUAGAAAUAACUUGAUUGGGACCAUUGUAAUUUUAUAAUUUUUGUUAUAGUUUUUGCCUGUAAUAAGAGAAUUAGAGACUUUUUAAUGUGAAAUGGCACAUUACAAGAUUAUAGUUGAAGGUUGGCUUGUAUUUGGUAGCAUUGAUUUUAGUAGAAUAAUAGAAUUAGAUGGAACUGAAGGUAAUCUUUAUUAGUAAAACUAGUAUUUGCAGUCUCUAACUCCACUCAGGCAGCAUAGUUUACAGAUAGUACCACUAUGUUUUUAAUUAAAACUUUAGCUUUGUGUUUUUUUGCUUUUUUGUGGAUAAAUUUUAAUUCAUAAGUAGGUUGUAAAAUUGAGUGUUCUCUCUCUAUACAUAUACUUUAAACAUUAAAAAAAAUUUAUAUGAUGAUUAAACAAUAUGAAGACUUUUUAUUUUAUUUUAAGUCUUAAUUUUUAUUAGUUACUUCACUUAUGAAUUAGCUUGACUUAAUAAAAAACCAUUAGGGCCCUUCUUGCUUGUUCAUCUUCUGUUUUGCUUUCAAAGCUUCUUUUGUUUCAAUUUUAGGAUUUUGUUCAAAUUACUAUUAUAAGUGCUUAAUUAUAAACCUUCUAAAUAUCUACUUUUACCUGUCCAUCUUCUACUGCUCAUCACUCGUUUAUGUUUUAAUGGGUUUGUUGCAAAGUUGUUAUUAGUGGCAACAUGUUACAAUAUUGUUGCUUUUACUUCACUUUGAUGAAGAUAUACCUAUUGAGGUUUUAUAUCUACAUCCACAUUUGCAUUAAAGUGGUUAGUGUUGGUGUUCACAAGUUGCUUCGGCUUCAAACAUCACUAUAUAAUCAUGUAGAUCAACACUCGUUGAAAAAUUUUUCUUAUUAGCAUGGUUUUCAAGAUAUUUAGUGUUUGCCUGUAUAAUUUUGGAUAGAAGAGUAACAUUAUUGGAGUUCAUUUCAAGUGCAUAAAGUGUUUUGAAUUGUUAUCACACGAAUAUAUUUAAAUGAAUGAUAAUUAAGAAGUUUACAAUUUAACUUUUGGCGAAUAACUUCUUGUUUGGAAAUUAAAGUUCAAGGGAAUUGAUGAGUACUCGAUGAAAGAGCUCUCGCAACUUCGUGAUCAAUAGGCUACAUAAGUUGCCAAGUUAAUUAAAACCUACAAUCGCGAGGUAAUAUAUGAGUAAUUUAGGACCACUUUUGCUUCCAAAUCUCUAAGACUUAUUUUUUGUGGUGUUCUAAUUGAUUUUAUGUGCUUGUAGGUGGGGGAAAAAAAUGAAGCCACGUAUGGAUAUUCAGGAUAUUCUUGUGCUUAUUAUUGUUGGUUAAUGUUCGUUGAAAUUGAAUUUAGUACUUUGUUGCUUAAAACUUGUCGAAAACUUAAUUUGAUACUUAUGUUCUUUUUUUUUCCAAACAAUGAUGUAGUUGAAUUAUGUUAAUUUAAGUGAUGUAUUUGGGAUAUUUAUUAUGUGAAUUGUGUUGGGAGAUUUGAUAUAUUUAAUAUAUUUAUUUUUUUUAAUUGUAAAACAAACUGGAAAAAUAUAAUUAAAAUAAAAAUAUAUUACUAACCAAAAGCAGCAUAACAUCACUAAAUACUGACUCAAUUUUAAAUAUUGAUAUGUAAAUAGUAUCAUUAAAUGUUUACACUUCGUAUCAUUAUUUUAGUGAUACUAUAGUGACAUGAAUUACUGACACGUAAAUAGUAUCAUUAAGUACUAACGCCAUAGUGUCAUUAUUUUGGUGAUACUAGAGUAACACGAAUUACUGACACGAAAAACGCUGACACCAAAAAUUAGUGUCAGUGUGUUCUAGCUGGAGCAUUACUGACACAAUUAACAAGUGUCAGUAAAAGUUAUUACUGACACUAAAUUGGUGUCAGUAAAGCCCAUUUUUCUAGUAGUGAGCCUUGCAGCUUGAACAACCUUCGGAUAGUCUUGACUCUUGAAUCCAAAUACUCCGCUACACUUGAGUGUAGCCAAUGAACCGUGGUCCUUCCUUAGCUAUAAUAUGAUCCGGUGAUGAAGUAUCACAUAUGCAAUUUUUGUAACGGAUAGACAAGAUGAAUUUAGGUGAAGUGAAAGCAUAAAAAAAAACAUACCACAUAAAUGAAUCCCUUCAUGAUAUGUUUAGAACAGAGUUUUAUACAAGGAGCCGGUAUAGUGUCGAGCUCUCAAAAGUUGUCUUUGGCUACCAUUUGGCAAAAAUUAAAUAAAAUAACAUAUUAAUUUAGAAAUUAUAGAAAAAAUAUUAAUAGUAAAAAAUAAAUAGAAAAUAAAAGAAAGAUAUAAUAUUGUCAAAAUCAAGAAAAAAUUUAUAUAAUAAAUUAAAAAUGUUUGUUUCAUAUAUUAUAUGUGAUGUGUCAUAUUUAACAUCAAAAUUUUCUAGAUGUUUUGUUAUUUUUCUCAACUUUGUUAUUCUAAAUAACCCAAAAAGUUUUUUUUCCCGCCCGUUUUAUGUUUGACGUCCUUAUUGCAUGUUUGACCCCCAUUCUUACAUCUUUCACGUGACCUGCUGCAUGUUGACAUGGUUUUCAUGUUUAACCUCAUAUAUUACAUGUUUGUCCUCACUUGUUACAUGUUUCAUGUGGAUUGUUGCAUGUCUUAAAUAAAGCCAAAAAAUAAAAAUUAUCCCACCAAUUUUAUGUUUCACGUCCGCGUUGCAUGUUUGAUCUCCGUUAUUGCAUCUUUUAUGUGAACUGUUGCAUGUUGACGUGGUUCUCAUGUUUAACUUUAUGUGUUGCAUGUUUGACCUCAACUGUCGCAUGUUUUACGUGACCUUUUUACACGUAAAUUUCAUGUUGUAUGUUUGACCUCACUUCUUGCAUGUUUCACGCGGAUUGUUGCAUGUCAUGAAUAAAGCCAAAAAAUAAAAAAUUUCCCACUCGUUUCACGUUUGUAUACCUCCAUUGUUGCAUCUUUCACGUGAACUAUUGCAUGUUUCUCAUCUUUAACCUCAUCUGUUGCAUGUUUGACCUUUGGUGUUGCAAGUUUUACCUGACUUUUUUACAUGUAAAUUUCAUGUUGCAUGUUUGAUCUCACUUGUUGCAUGUUUCAUGUGGAUUUUCGCAUGUUUGAAUAAAGCCAGAAAUGAAAAUUUUCCCGGCUGUUUCAUGUUUCACGUCUGUGUUACAUGUUUGAUCUUCAUGUUGUAUCUUUCACAUUAACUGUUGCAUGUUGAUGUCGUUCUCAAGUUUAACCCCAUCUGUUGCAUGUUUGACCCCAUAUGUUCCAUGUUUUAUGUGACCCUCUUACAUGUAAAUUUCAUGUUACAUGUUUGACCUCAUUUGUUACAUGUUUCACAUGGGUUGUUGCAUAUCUUGAAUAAAGCCAAAAAAUGAAAAUUGUUCCACUUGUUUCAUGUUUCACGUUCGUGUUGCAUGUUUGACUUCCGUCGUUGCAUCUUUCAAGUGAAUUUUUAAUUUUUGCACGUUGAUGUGGUUCUCAUGUUUAACCUCAUCUGUUGCAUGUUUGACAUCAGAUGUUGCAUAUUUUACAUGACCUUUUUAAAUAUAAAUUUCAUGUUAUAUGUUUGACCUCACUUGUUGCCUGUUUCACUUGAAUUGUUCCAUGUCUUGAAUAAAGAGAAAAAUUGAAAAUGGGUGAGGAAGACAAAGUAAUAGUGCAUAUAAUCACGAAGUUGGCUAGCCAACUUAUUUAACAAUGAAUCUAGUGGUUAACCACUUCCACUCCAGAGACACCCAACAAUGAAACGACUAGCCAAUAGAUUUAACGAAGAAUUAAGCAGUUUAUCGCUUCCACUCCGGAAACACUCAACAAUUAAGUGGUUAGUCGACUAAUUUAACAAGGAAUCAAAUGGUUAACUGCUUGCGUUCAAGAAAAUAGCUAACAAUGAAACAUUUAGCCAAAUUGUUAAGCAAAGAAUUAAGCAGUUAGUUGCUUCCACUCCAAAAACAACUAAGUAUGAAACAGUUACUUAGCUUAUUUCACAACAAAUGAAGCGGUUAACUAGUACAACGAAUGUUUGACGUUGAUAUUUCAUGUAUCACAUUGUCUAACACAUGUAUAAAUAUCAUGUUGCAUUCAAAAUUUCUUGACAUUUCAAGUGAUAAUUUAUAAUCAAAAUUAUUUGUUUCAUAUUCUUUUUUAUUAUUAAUUAAGUUUAAUUAAGCCCCAUCUAUUAAGAAAAAAAAAUGAAAUGUUGCCUUAGUGUUAAAAUUAUUUGAUAAUUUAAGUGAUCAUUACUACUCCAAGUAAUAAUUUAUCAUUUUAGUUAUUAUUUGUUUCAUUAUUUUGUAAUUUGUUUAAUUUUUCACACGAAAAUAACUAUGGUGACAAUUUUAAAUUACCAAUUAAACCUUCUUCUUUUUUUUAGUGCAAUUGGUAAUUUGUAAAUUUUUUAUUUUAAAAAUCAAAUAAUACAUACACACAUUAUUAUUUUGAUAUUUCAUCAGAGCUUGUAAAAUGAAACCCAUAAACAAAGGCAUCCCAAAUUUUGUAAUUACAAAAAAAAAAAAAAAAAACGUAAAGAAGAGAGUUGGCGGGUGCACGCCAUACGCGAAUUAAUUUUCACCAUCAUCUUCCACCAUAUGUCGUGAGCAAUGGAGGCUUUCCCUCCCCACUACCAUUACAAAAAAGGUGUCGAAAAAGGUGUCGACCUGUGUCACACCCCCAUCCAAGAAGUGAGCUAAAAAUUAUGAAACUCCAAAGCACUGUCUAAGCAUAGCACACAGGCUACUUCCAGCAUCUCCAUUAACAAAAUACUUGAAAAAAGCAAGGCAUUCUAUGAAAACAUGCUCAAAGAUUCCAAAAGAAAAUUGACAUUUAAACACAUAAGAAUCAAUCUUAAGAAUCCAUCAAUUUUGCAAUCAAGCGAAAAAAAGUCAAUCUCUGAUCUAUAAGACCAAAAUUCAAAGUCUAUAAUUUCAAUGAUCAAAUAACAAAUGAUGUACAAAUAAAAUUCAUGGAAAUCUAUAGAAACCUUUGGCAUUAUUUUAGACCAUGUAAAAAGCACAGGCCUUGUUCAAUAGUCCCUUUAAAUUAUUGGGUUGGUUCAAUUACUAUACAAAUUUGCAGAUAUAAUCUAGACAUGUAAAGCACCUAGAAUAUAACAUCUUAGCUCAAAUUUAGUUACAGUUAUUACUAUUUCUAUGACCCAAUACAGAGUUACAGAAAACUGGUUUAUUGACAGGAAACGCCAAUAACCUAAGCUUCUGAUUUUCUUUAAAAAUUCAAUACUAUUCAGAAUAUUGUGAAAACUUCCAAAAUAUUAUUAGACACAACAUAUAAAAUUUUCAAGCCAUUUGGACAACUCCAUAAUUGGUUCUCACAGGAUUGAACUAAACAAAUCAAAACUGUCUUUUUAAUUCACACAAAAACAGCUGAGCUUUGGUGAUUUAUUAAAAUUAAAAUACUCAAUAUGUUGGGAUGAAAAUUCCCAGAACAUAAUUACACAUAUAACUUGAUAACGUAUUAAAAGUUCAAGACAUUCUGAUAUCAUUAAGCUAAUGUUUCAUAAGAUCAAACACAAGUGAAUAGUUCUGUCAAGGGGUUUAGGGCUAAAGUAGUGGAGUUUGAAAAAUCAUAAAAAACAAAAGAGAACCAGUUGUUCAAUUACCAAGGAACUUUUAACAUUUAAAAUACAUUUAAAAUAGACUUAUUGAAGUUUAAUAUCUCAAAAUUUUAGCUCAUGUUGACACCAAUAGAUUAUUCGUUUAUAACACCAAACAUGGUACAUACACAGUUUUUGAAAAAUUCCAACAGCAACUGACCAAUUUGACGAAUCCAUUAAAAAUCAACCAUUAGUUCAAUUCAUUACAAAAUGUCCAGAAUCGAAAUAUACAAUUUAGCUUGUAUUACUCAAAAUUUGAAGCUAAUCAAGCAUCAUUUAGUCAUAUUUUCAAACAAUCAAAGUUAUGAUAAUAGUUCAACAAUCUUUAAAUUUUCUGCAGAAUCAAUAAACUAUUUAUAAUCUUUUCAGUUCAAUAAUCAAUUUUCUGGCAAAAUUAGACAUGCAAAACCAACAACAACCUUACUUUUCAGUUUUGAGAUAACAAAACAUCAAUUGCACAAAGUUACCUACCUAAAUCACAAGCUUUAACUUCCUAGCCUCUUAAUAAAGCUUUCUGUCACCUUUGCAAGUAUUAACCUCGGCCUUGACAUUACCAAAAAGCCUACCCAAAAUAAAAUUAAAAAAAAAAAAAGAUUAUCAAUCACACUUCCAUUAAACAAAGUCAUAAGAGCUUAUUUAAAAAUUGAGGUGUCUUUUACCUCUUGACGAAUAGCUCAAGUCCAAACUUCCAAUCUAUAGCACUACAUAAUUGAAACAUACAACCACCGAUCAACAAAUAACCCAAAAAAUUGCUAACAGUUUCAAUUAAAAAUAAAAGCUGGUGAUUAUAUAGCAUCAGUAUAUAGCAUUAAAUCAUCAAGGAACAGUAUACGAUGGUGAGUCUCUAGAAACAUCAAUAAAAGUUUCUGAAAAACAGCAAAAAAACAACUUAAAAGUAAUAUAAUGAAUAUCAACACAUAUAAAAUAAGAUUGGUCAAAAAAUUAAAAAUAAAAGAAAAAGAAGCUGAAUGGAUAAAUCUUUACAAAAUUUGUGGGUACCCAUUUUUAGUAUUCCGAACAAUGAGUGUGGAGCUCAAAACGAGCAAACAACACCGAAAACCAAACAAGAAAAAAUUAGUAUAUCAAGAGAAAAAAAUUAACUUGUUUUGAGGGUUUUCGCUGGUGGCUUCAGGAAGCCCACGCGGCCACGAUUUUGGCCAAAGCUAGGAUGACGGCAGUGAAGGUUGAAGAACUGAUGGUAUAGUCAAUGGUGGGACAGAAAUAAUGGUGGGCGGUUGGAAACGCAGCAACAGACGUGAUACCAACUUUGCCUCUCCCUAGCUCUCGUAUACAAACCAAAUACUAGGGUAGAUGACUCCAAUUGGUUGAUUAGUGUGAGAGAGACAAUGGAUUUGAUUUUAGGUAAUGAGCAAAGAAAUCAGAUGAUAGAAAUUAUGGAUUUCAAAGAGGGAAGAAAUUUAGGGAUUUCCCUUUUAAGAAAGCGAAGAAAUCAGAUCGGCGAGAGUGGGGCCGGGGGGGUUAAAUGGAUGAGAAAAAUUAUGGAUUUCAAAUGAAUGAGAAAUCUGAUGGUAUAAAAUGUUUAUUAAUAUAUACUUGAGAACCAACAUCUCAAGUUCAAUCGAACGGUUUGAUUUCAAUUUUCAAUAUGGUGUCCGGGCUUAGUGCCGGGCAUUGUAGCUUUAACCCUUAUACAACUGUUAAUAUAUAAGAACUUGUAUUGGUGAAUUUACAGACAUAAUAAAUUAGGUGUAAAAUCUAUAAUGUACUUAUCGUAAACGACAACUUUAUGGAGCAAUAAUCCUAGUUUUCUUUUCUAAUUUUAUGAGCAAGUAAAACUCGUUAUAUUUUGCUUCAUUAAAAAAGAAUAGUAAAUGGCUUGCCUAGCUUUGAGCAAAGUAUUUAGAUCAUUUGAUAUGUAAUAGGUGCCAUUUCUCAAUCUACCAGCUUUGAUAUUGACAAAAUGCAGUACACGCAUAAGCUGAUUAUAGUAAACAAUUUGGCAAGAGUUCUCUAUAGAAAAUUAAUGGGGACAAAUGACCUUAGAAAUUGAAUAAGAUGCUGCAAAUUGACCAAGUGACAAAUCCGUUCCCAUCCGAACCAUAGCUAAUUUAGAAUGAAUAUUUGAAAAUAAGAGAAGGCAAGACACAUGUGGGCACAGCAACCGAGGAAAGCAGACCUAGCGUUGGCAUGAAUUAAAAGUUAGAUAAUACUCUUACACACUAUUUUUGAAGGCAUUCAUGGCAAAGAUUAUAAUUCACUACCAGUGAAAGAAAAGAAAAUCAAUUUGAUUGUCUCAUACGUCUAGCUCUUCAACAUUUUAAAGCAACGAGCAUCUAAAUUUUAAGAAACCCAUUACAAUUUCCUUUGCAUUGAUUCUCUGCUUUGGUGAGUCUACAAUACACUCUAUAGCUAAAUUGAAGACAAAUGACACACGUUACUCUUUGGUCAUAAAAUGUUUGUCUUCCCAAGCUAGUAGAUUUGCAUCAACAAUUGUCGUAACUGAAAUGAGUAGCGAAUCAUUAACCCAAUACUUUAAUCUCAUUUUCUUCUGAAAAAAUUUCAUCUGUGACUUUAGUGUAAUAUAUGUUCUUUUCUAAUUUUAAGAAUAUCAUUUUAAAAGGAAUUGUAAAUAGCUUCCCUAGUUUGAGCAAAGUAUUUAGGUCAUCUGACAUAUAAUAAGGUCCAUUUCUCAACCUGCCAGCUUUGGUUUUCAUAAAAUGCGAUAUACACAUAAAGUAAUGGGUAUAAAACUAAAUGCACUGAAAUUUUCAAUCCUUCUAAAUCCUACAAAAUAUUCAUAAUUUUCCACACAUGAAGCAAAAGAACAAUAAUUAAAUCACACUGACCUGAUUAUACCAAAUGAAAGUCCAAAUUUUCCCUAUAGAAAAAAUAUAAAUAUAAUUAAACCUAAACAAAUGGCAAAAAUCUCCAUGGAAACUUGAAGGGACUCAAAUUGCACAAUAACAAAUCACCUUAGAAAUUGAAUAAAAUGCAGCAAACUAACCAAGUGUCAAAUCCGCUCCCUUCCGAAUCAUAGCUAAUUGAGAAUGAAUAUUUGAAAGUGAGAGAAGGCAGGAUCACAUGCGGGCACAGCAACCAAGGAAAGCAGACCUAGCAUUGGCACGAAUUAAAAGUUAGACAAUACCCAUACACAAUUAUUGGAGGUAUUCAUUGCAAAGAUUACAAAUCAUUACCGGUGAAAGAAAAGAAAAUCAAUUUGAGUGUCACAUGCGUCUACCGCUUAACAUUUUUAAGCAAUGAGUCUCUAAUUUUUAAGAGUCUUGUUACAAUUUCUUUUGCAUUGAUUCUCUGCUCUGGUGAUUCUACAGUACACUUCAUAGCCAAAUUGAAGAUAAAUGACACGCAUUGCCCUUUGGUCGUAAAAUGUUCGUCCUUCUGACUUAACAGAUUUGCAUCAACAAUUUCCAUAACUGAAAUGGGUAGUAAGUCAUUAACCCAAUGCUUUAAUGUCAUAUCUCCAAAAAAGAUUUCAUCUGUGGGUUUCUUUCGGGUAAAUGUUUCCAUUAACAUAAUCCCAAAACUAUAAACAUCCCCAUUUGUGGAUACUUGUCCUUCUCUUCCAUACUCUAUGGAUUGCAACAAUUACACAGUAAGAUAAUAUAAUUUAUAAUAUUAUGCGUAAAUGAAGAUCAAAACAAAUAAAUAACAUAUCAGAAAUUAUUAAAGAAAUAAAAAAAUAUUUAUUAUGUAACAAACCUGGUGCCAUAUAGCCUAUGGUGGCAAGUGUUUGUGUUUGAGUCAAAGAUUGAUCUUCUUUGAGUAAGGGCUUUGCCAUGCCAAAAUCACUCAAAUGAGCAACCAUAUUAUCAUCUAACAAUACAUUGCUGGGCUUUAAGUCACAGUGAAUUAUUGGCACUGAAUAACCAAAGUGCAGAUAUUCCAAAGCUGAUGCAACAUCUAUCAUUAUGUUCAAUCUUUGAAAAAUAUCCAAAAUGUAGUUGCUCGAAUACAAACACUUCUCCAGACUUCCAUGAGGCAUGUAUUCUAAUACCAAUGCUUUAAAAUCAUCACUUGAACAACUGCUAAUGAUUUUUAUAAUGUUUCGAUGGCGAAUACGUUUUAUCAUGUCACAUUCAAUAUCAAAACUCUUAAAUGCUCUUCCAUAUUGUAGGUCAAAAACCUUUACUGCAACCUCCAUCCCAUCCUGAAUUCUUGCCUUGUAAACAGAGCCAAAACCUCCUCUGCCGAUUAGAUUGUUUUCACUAAAUCCGUUUGUAGCUUGAAAAAUUUCUAGGUAUGUAAACCUUCUCUGAUUUGAUAUUCGUGGCAUAUUAGCAUCAUUUGGCAGUGGUUUCCCUCUCUUUCGAUAUCUUAAUAUAAACAAAAUCACUGCCAUCAUAAAUAUAGUACUCAAUGGCAAGACAAUCCCUAUGAGAAGAUCAUUUUUCCUUGAUGUGUGAUGGAUUCUAGUUCUGCACGGUGGGACUUGUAGAUUGGGCAUACCACACAAUAAUUCAUUUCCCUCGAAUGAUUCAGUUGAGAAAUUUCUAAAAGGUCCCUUAUUAGGAAUCUCCCCUUCCAACUUAUUGAAAGAAACAUUUAUAUCUUUGAGAUCUAACAAUUUCUCUAAAGAUAUAGGAAUAGUUCCAGAGAGAUUAUUAUUGGAUAAAUUUAAGGAUUUCAAGUUUAUCAAAUCACCAAUUGAAUCGGGAAUUGAGCCUUGUAAUCUAUUAUAUUCUAAAAAGAGAUAUUGUAGAUCUUUUAGGCCUCCAAUUGUUGUUGGGAUAACAUCUGAAAAAUUAUUCAUCGACAAAUCUACUUGUACCAAAACCUUCAAAUUUCCAAUCUCUGAUGGGAGUGGACCAGUAAAAAAAUUUGAAGACAAGUCAAGGUACAAAAUGUCCUUAAGGUUCCAUAAAGUUGAAGGAAUAGAAGUUAGCUUAUUGGAGCCCAAAUAGAGAUUCCUUAGAUUAGUGAGAUUGCCAAAGCAUGCUGGUACGAAUCCAUCAAGCUUAUUGCCCCCAGAGUCCAACUCAAACAGUGCAGCUAAACGACAAAGAUCAUCUGGGAUUGAUCCUUCCAAUUGAUUAUCUUCCAAACUCAAUAAUUGAAGCUUUUGUAAUUUGCCAACAGCAAUCGGAAUUGAUCCAUUCAAGUUGUUUCCUCCUAAAUAAAUUGCUAUCAAGUUGGUCAAGUUGCCGAUCUCUUCAGGGAUGCCGCCACUAAUGUUGCAAUUGUGCAUCCGAAAGUCUUCCAUAGAUUGAGAAAGAUUGCCUAUAGCCCUUGGAAGAAUGCCACCUAGUGGAUUAUUAUAGAAGCCAAAAUACUCCAAAUACUUGCAAUUUGACAACGAGGAUAGAAACCUCAAUUUUGGAGUUGAAGAUGUCAAAUAAUUGUCAUUUAAACCAAGCCACUUAAGGUUUCUUAAAUUGCCAAAUGUGUUUGGAAUAAAACCGGAGAAUGAGUUCUCUUCCAAUGCUAGUUUGGAGAGCUUAGAAGCAUUGAAGAUGAAACUAGGAAUUGUGCCACUAAAAUUAUUACCCCACAAGUGAAGUUCUUCAAGAUUUGGAAGUCGGACGUCUCCGCUUGAUGCAAGUCUUCCCGAGAGUGAGUUACUCUGAAGAUGAAGUGAUUUGAGUGUUGACACAUUGAAGAUUGUAGUUGGGACAACACCAACUAAUUUGUUAAAACUAAACGCCAUCCAUUCUAGAUUAUGGAGAUUACCGAUUUCAUGUGGUAUCUCACCUGUAUUUUGAAACAAAAAAUAAUUCAAAUUUAUUUUUAAUAAUAAAUUACACACUUUUAAAUCAUGAAAUGAGUAUUCGUAAUUAAAAUUAUUAAAUAUGAGUUUAAGAUGAAUUAUUAUACAUAGAUAAAAUGUUAAUAAAAUUUUAAAUUUUUAUUCUUUUUAAUUAAAUAUAAAUAUUAAUAAUUCCAGUAUUCAUGUCAUUAUUAAAUUAAAAAAAUAAAGAAACCACUCAUUUUAAUAUUAAUUUGAAUUAGUAAUAUAAUAUUUGUAUGAACAUAAGAAUUUUUUUCAAAACUAAACUUUUACAUUAUUUUUCUAGGUCCUACUACAGUGAAUAUAUGAAUUGAUAUCAUGGUGGAAGAAUAUUGAUUUCAUGUUUUAAAAAACAAUUAAUCUAUUUUAGACUUUCCUUUACAAAAUAAAAACACUUUUUUUUAUGCCUAAAUAAACGUCUGAACUUAACCGCCAUUAUCAGAAACUGUUGCUUGUUUUUUACUUCUUCUUCCCUACUACUUAUUGUAUCACUAACUUUUGAACUUUUGGUAUAAACAUAAGCAAAGAAGAAACAUUGCCAAUUAAUUCUUAAUUCUUUUACAAACUUACGUCAUGGAAUUAGAUUAAAAUUGGAUGCGCUACUGUCAUGGUAUUCUGCAAUAGCAACUGACAGAUGAAGUAGACAACAUCAAUUGAACACCAUUUCUAUUUGCAAUCUCUAAAAUUAAUUUAACUUUUCACACUUAUAGAUAUUGUUCAAUCUUUCUAAUUCUCCAUUUGAUUUUGGACCCUAGAAAGACAAUUAAAAAAAUGAACAAAAAAAGAAAGUAAAGAAAAACAUAUAAUCUGCUUGAUAGAUUAUCAAAAUUUGUCGAGUGAUCACAAAAUAAAAGAAAAUGCAAUAGAAAAGAGAAAGAGAAAAACUAACACAGUGAAAGAAAUAGAAGGUUUAUGCUUGUUAGACAUUCGUUAAUCUUAGAGCCAUUAAGUCUUAGAUUUUUAAUUAGGCAAUGAAACGAUGUAUUUUAAUUUUAAUAAGGAAAGUCUAAAAUAAUUUAAAUCAUAGACUCACUAAAAUGCUUAAACAAAAUUGAUUUUCGAGCAAAUAAACACCUGCUAUUCUAGGAACAAGCGCACAGUGGUCCAGGUAAAAUACUCGAAGUGAUAACUAAAAACAUGACAUAAAUAUAAAUCACACGUACCUUGGAGUCUGUUUUGGUAAAGAGAUAAAUACUUAAGCUUGGUCAAAUUGCCGAUUUCUUUUGGUAUGUCUCCCGACAAGCCAUUGACCGACAAAUAUAAUGUUUGUAGAAGUUUGCACCUUGAUAAAGUCGAUGGGAUUUUGCCGUCAAAGCUGUUUACGCUUAGAAAGAGGAUUUCCAGAAAAGGAAGGUUGUUGCAAAUAUUUGCCGGGAGUUCACCUGGGAGUUCACCAAAUAAUAUCUUUAUAUUCAAAAUGAAUAUUUUCUAGUAAAGAAGACUUAAAUAACAUAAAGGAAGGGAUUGGACCAGAGAGCUGGUUAUAGCUAAGAUAAAGUUUUUGAAGUGAAGAUGGAUUCCCAAGUUGAGAAGGAACGAUGCCUGUUAAGAAAUCAUUUGUUAGCGAUGGCAUCACCAAUUAUAUAAAGAUAAACAGUGAUUUCAUGUCAAAUAUUUUAUGUUGAUGUCACAAAUGCAUAUUAUUAGCCAAAACUACCUGUCAAGUUAUUAACUGACAAAUCCAAAUUCGAUAGAGAAGAAAGAUUGAAGAUUGAUGAAGGAAUGGUUCCAGUUAAGAAAUUAUUUUGUAGCCAUAACUCCUCUAAUUCUGCAAGAUUCCCGAGCUCUUCUGGAAUUUCUCCUAAAAUCCAUCAGUAACAUAUGCUUUAACUAUUUUAACUUAUUAAAAACAAAAACAAAAAAAAAGUAAAGAAAAACAUCUAAUCUGCUUGAUAGAUUAUCAAAAUUUGUUGAGUGAUCACAAAAUAGAAGAAAAUGCAAUAGAAAAGAGAAAGAGAAAAACUAACAAAGUGAAAGAAAUAGAAGGUUUAUGCUUGUUAGACGUUUGUUAAUCUUAGAGCCGUUAGUCUUAGAAUUUUAAUUAGGCAAUGAAACGAUGUGUUUUAAUUUGAAUAAGGAAAGCGUAAAAUAAUUUAAAUCAUAGACUAAGAAAGGCAUAAACAACAUGUGUCAUGAUCUUAUACAAAAUUUAAGAAAGAUUAGAAUAUGAGAGGAUCCAAAUCCCCUUAUCUAUUAUAAUUCUCUGCUGAUUCAAAGUUACCGUCAACAUUUAUUAUAAGGGUUCCAAUUAAAAUGCUUAAACAAAAUUGAUUUUCAAGCAAAUAAACACCUGUUAUUCUAGGAACGAGCGCACAGUGGUCCAGGUAAAAUACUCGGAGUGAUAACUAAAAAAAUGAGAUAAAUAGAAAUCAUACAUACCUUGGAGUUUGUUUUGGUCAAGAUAUAAAUACUUAAGCUUGGUCAAAUUGCCGAUUUCUUUUGGUACGCCUCCCGAGAAGUCAUUGAUCGACAAAGAUAAUGUUUGUAGAUGUUUGCACCUUGGUAAAGUCGAUGGGAUUUUGCCGUCAAAGUUGUUUUCGUCUAGAAACAGGAUUUGCAAAAGAGGAAGGUUGCUGCAAAUAUUUGCAAGGAGUUCACCUGGGAGUUCACCAAAUAAUAUCUUUAUAUUCAAAAUGAAUAUUUUCUAGUAAAGAAGACUUAAAUAACAUAAAGGAAGGGAUUGGACCAGAGAGCUGGUUAUAGCUAAGAUAAAGUUUUUGAAGUGAAGAUGGAUUCCCAACUUGAGAAGGAAUGAUGCAUGCUAAGAAAUCAUUUGUUAGCGAUGACAUCUCCAAUUAUAUAAAGAUAAGCAGUGAUUUCAUGUCAAAUAUUUUAUGUUGAUGUCACAAAUGCAUAUUAUUAGCAAAUACUACCUGUCAAGUUAUUAACUGACAACUUCAAACUCGAUAGAGAAGAAAGAUUGAAGAUUGAUGAAGGAACCGCUCCAGUUAAGAAAUUAUUUUGUAGCCAUAACAUCUCUAAUUCAGCAAGAUUCCCGAGCUCCUCUGGAAUUUCUCCUAAAAUCCAUCAGUAACAUAUGCUUUAACUAUUUUAACUUAUUAAAAACAAAAAAAAGAAAGUAAAGAAAAACAUCUAAUCUGCUUGAUAGAUUAUCAAAAUUUGUUGAGUGAUCACAAAAUAGAAGAAAAUGCAAUAGAAAAGAGAAAGAGAAAAACUAACAAAGUGAAAGAAAUAGAAGGUUUAUGCUUGUUAGACGUUUGUUAAUCUUAGAGCCGUUAGUCUUAGAAUUUUAAUUAGGCAAUGAAACGAUGUGUUUUAAUUUGAAUAAGGAAAGCGUAAAAUAAUUUAAAUCAUAGACUAAGAAAGGCAUAAACAACACGUGUCAUGAUCUUAUACAAAAUUUAAGAAAGAUUAGAAUAUGAGAGGAUCCAAAUCCCCUUAUCUAUUAUAAUUCUCUGCUGAUUCAAAGUUACCGUCAACAUUUAUUAUAAGGGUUCCAAUUAAAAUGCUUAAACAAAAUUGAUUUUCAAGCAAAUAAACACCUGUUAUUCUAGGAACGAGCGCACAGUGGUCCAGGUAAAAUACUCGGAGUGAUAACUAAAAAAAUGAGAUAAAUAGAAAUCAUACAUACCUUGGAGUUUGUUUUGGUCAAGAUAUAAAUACUUAAGCUUGGUCAAAUUGCCGAUUUCUUUUGGUACGUCUCCCGAGAAGUCAUUGAUCGACAAAGAUAAUGUUUGUAGAUGUUUGCACCUUGGUAAAGUCGAUGGGAUUUUGCCGUCAAAGUUGUUUUCGUCUAGAAACAGGAUUUGCAAAAGAGGAAGGUUGCUGCAAAUAUUUGCAAGGAGUUCACCUGGGAGUUCACCAAAUAAUAUCUUUAUAUUCAAAGUGAAUAUUUUCUAGUAAAGAAGACUUAAAUAACAUAAAGGAAGGGAUUGGACCAGAGAGCUGGUUAUAGCUAAGAUAAAGUUUUUGAAGUGAAGAUGGAUUCCCAAGUUGAGAAGGAACGAUGCCUGUUAAGAAAUCAUUUGUUAGCGAUGGCAUCACCAAUUAUAUAAAGAUAAACAGUGAUUUCAUGUCAAAUAUUUUAUGUUGAUGUCACAAAUGCAUAUUAUUAGCCAAAACUACCUGUCAAGUUAUUAACUGACAAAUCCAAAUUCGAUAGAGAAGAAAGAUUGAAGAUUGAUGAAGGAAUGGUUCCAGUUAAGAAAUUAUUUUGUAGCCAUAACUCCUCUAAUUCUGCAAGAUUCCCGAGCUCUUCUGGAAUUUCUCCUAAAAUCCAUGGGUAACAUAUGCGUUAACUAUUUUAACUGAUUAUUAACCGACACUCAAGAAGAAAAAAAUGAAAUAAAAAAAGCUUUUGCCUGAAGAGAGAUAAAAAAAAAAUUACUCAAUAGAAUUAAAUAAUUAUAGGCUGACAGGAUUAAUAAAUGUGAGACAUUAUUAAUUUUCAUCAAUUAAUUAAACUCAUUGAUCAUACCUUGGAGUUUGUUCCCUCCAAGAUAUAACCCGAUAAGCGUUGUCACGUUGCCAACUUCUUUUGGUAUGGUCCCCGAAAAAUCAUUGAGCGAUAAAGAUAUCUUUCGCAGCCGUUUGCAGCUUGAUAAAGUGGAUGGUAUCUUGCCAUGAAACAUGUUACUUUUAAGAAAUAGGGAUUCCAAAUUGGAAAGGUGAUCGCAAAAUUUUGGUGGGAGUUCGCCAAAUAGUGUAUUGUUUCUAAAAUCAAUAGAAAGUAAAGAAGACAUGUUGAAGAUAGAGGCCGGAAUGGAACCAGAAAACCAAUUAAAACUGAGAUCAAGUGAUUGAAGAGACGAAAGAUUCCCGAGUUCAGAAGGGAUAGUGCCCGUGAGAUUUAACCCAGAUAUAUUCAAGGCUGUGACUCUAUGAGUACGGACAUCACAAGUGAGGCCCGUCCAACUACAGACAGAGCUACUUGUGUUCCAAUUUCUAGCCAAAAAAUUGGUUGGAUCAUCAGUUACAUGACCUUUCAGGGCAAGAAGGGCUUGUUGGUCUAUGGUAAUACUUGUAGUGUUGGCUGAUGCAAUCAUGAAGGAAAGAAUCAAGCAAUGGAGUAAGAGAAAUCUGAGCAUCAUCCGGGCAGAAGGAAUUCUUUCCAUGAGACUAGAAUAUUUAGAUUGUAAGUGUGUGCUUAAUUGGAUUGAUAAUGCAAGAACACUCAUAGCUGCUUCCAAGCAUAUAUAAUGAAACCGAAAUUUCGAAGAAGCAGCAAGAAAGAAAAUAGAGGAGUGAAAAGGCUAUGCUCAUAACUUGCUGAAAGGUGCAAAAUUGUAUGUGGACCCGCUGAGUCAAGGCAGUCCUUCAGGUCCACACUCAAGAUGAUUGCAGUAAGUUUUGUUUUCCUUUAUAAUCAUCCUAUUAACUUAUCGCAAAAUAGUUCUACUCAUUAAAAAAAAAUUAAAUUAUUCUCCAUAUAUAGUAACAAGACAUAUAAUGCUCCUAGAAAAAAAAAAUUAUAUUUCUAUAUGCUUUUUCUGAAUUUGAGAUAAUUUACUAGUUCUGAAAAAAAUUGUACGAACCGGUGGUGUCGUUGGGUAAAAAAGUUCUUCACGGGUCAAUGAGGAUGUCAUAAGUUGACGCAAAUUGCCGAAGUCAAUGAAAGAAGAGACAAUGAAACCGAUUAUUAUUUUUAUAUAAGUAUUCAUAUUCAUUGAAGGAAUUUAACAGUUCUCAAUGGGACAAUAGAUGUUUGAGUGUUUUUGCUAUUGGUAUGAUCAUUCAAGGAUUUACAAGUGCCAAUAAAAAUAUAGGGAAAACCUAUGGUGCAACUGUGGUACCGUGCCACAGUUGCUUCCAGCCGUUGGAUGUCAGUGGACCCCACUUAUUCAAGUGCAUCCAACGGCUGGAUGCAACUGUGGCACGGUACCAUAGUUGCACCGUAGCCGGACCCAAAAAUAUAACCAAAAAGGAAAAAUAUGUGGCUUCAAUUGUAUUUGUGAGGGACACUCAUUUCUGAUCUUUAACUUGAAUUGGUUUUUUUUUUCCUCCAAAUUAUGAAUAUCUCAUGUGGAAAUUGGAAAUUUUUAUCACCUAUGAUUGGCUAAUAUGGAAAUUCUCUUUGAGCAAUAUAUAAUUCUCUUUUAAGAAGAAGAAGUUAGUGGCCUGUUAAUUAUGUGUGCUUUAUGGGUUACAAUUAGUACUAUUUUCAUUUCACUUUUAUUAGGGAUGAUGACAGAACUAAAUUUUUAAAAUUUUCUCCGGAAAAAAUAAAUGUUUACAAAGGCGUCAUGUGCAUGCAAUCCUACAGAAUUUCGUAACUAAUAAUAAACUUGCAAGAGAUUGAGAUUGAACGAUGAUGAAGUACAGAGCAAAUGCAAGAGCAAAAGAAAGAAAACUCGUUUUCAAAAAAAAAAAACACAACAUAAUGUUUAUAUUACUUUUAUUUGCGAAAAUUUUCAAAACAUAAUAGUUAAUUCAUACAUACUGAUUAAUUUGUCAGAUGUGUAAUAUAAUUUUCGGCGAACGCGUUGCAUUAAGUCACUCCUUCAGGUCCACUCCGAAUCACUGGAUAUUUUACUCUCUUCUUAUUAUGUGGAUCCAAUCAAAACUUUCAACUUUUGGGAUUCAGCCAUCGGAUUUAAUAAAAACGUUGUUCAAUGGCAAGAGCUUUGUUUAUAUGGUUUAGUUCUUAUAUUUUAAUUUAGGAGUUUAUUUAAUUUUUAUAUAUUGAAAAAUACUUCAAAAUACUUCUCUUAUUAAAUAUAUUAGGUUCCAGCCUUUAAUAUUUUCGUUUUAAUGGUAAUACCUUACAAUAACAAUCUUGGAGAUAUUAAUGAAAAAAUUUAAUUCAUCAAAUUAGCCUAAAAAAAAUAAAAAUUAAAGAAAUUUUUAUGUUAUUAUUUUACUUUUAUGAUUAAUUUGGUAAAUUAAAUUUUUGUAUACAAUUAUUAGUAAGAUUAUUGUAAUGAUAUUAAAUAUUACUUUCAGUUAGUUGAUAUUAAUUUAUUUAAAAAUAGUUGUUUGUCAGAUUCUAGUUAAAGUACAAAAAAUACUAUUUCUUUCAUAAUGAUAUUUAUUGAUUAAUUUGGUAAUUAAUAAUUAGUUAACUUGCUAUUAAAUUUUUUUAGAUAAAUUAAUUAAUAUUAAGAAUAUUGUUGAUAGGGUAGCAUUAUAAAGGUAAAGAUAAGAAUAUAAUAUAUUUAAUACUAAUAGUAUUUUGAAGUACUUUUUAAAAUAUAAGAAUUAAAUGAGUAUUUAAAUCAAAAUACAAAAACUAAACAAGCAUUUACUUGAUAAAAAAUCACAAAAGUUGAAUGUUUCAAAAUUUUGACACCCAAGACUUAUCUAUUAAAAGAGGUCAUGAGAAUUAAAACUUAGAUGAAACAGUGCCGUAACGUUAUCACAAAGACGUGCUGAGAUUUUCCUAUUUUCAAAUUUAAAUUUGACACCCAUAAGAGAUAGCGAUGGUGAGAGUGUGACUGCUCACUUGGAAUUUAAAUUUAAUUACACGGUCGCAUUCUCUCUCUGAUAUUUUUCGUAUUCUCUUUCAAGAAGAAUAAAUUAGCGGGCCAUUGAAUAGUAUUUAUGCGUGCUUUAUGGGUUAUAACAUUUUUGUCGAUCCUUAGCUCGACUCAAAAGUCAUGAAUUGCAAAGCCAAUGUAACAGAAGACAAUCGGGUAAUGACUAAUUAAGUAUUUAUGAUGGAGUGACACUCGCAAGUGCUUCUAAGUAUUUAUGAUGAAACCUAAAUUUCUCUCCACGUGAAAGAGAAAAAUCAGAAAAUAGAGGAGAGAAAUUAAAGCGAGAAAAGAUUCCUCUCCACGUGACAACAAACGUUGAAAUGUUUUUGCUAUUCGUUUGAUGCUUCGAGGAUUCACAGGUGCCGAUAAGUCCAACAAAAUUCCGCGGCUUGAAUUGUAUUUGUUAGGGGCACUCGUUUCUGAUCUUUUAACUUGAAUUAGUUUUUGUCGAUCUCGCUGCAAAAAUUAUCUUCCAAGAUGAAGAAAUCAGUGGCCCAUCGGUUAUAACAUUUUUGUCAAUAGUCAACCCAACUCAGAAAUUACGUGUUGCGAAGUCAAUGAAAGAGAAGACAAAAGUCAAUGAAAGCGAAGACAGCAAGACAUAUGGUGGGACACUUAAGUAUCAUUUGGGAUUAAAGUAGAAAUUUAAUAAAUUUCUUAUUUCAUAAUUCUUUAUAAAAAUAAUAUUUAAUAAAUUUUAUAAAAAUUAUUUAUUUUAUAAUUUUUUAUUUUACUGCAGUUUUUAAAAACAAGUUGAGAUUUACUCUUCAUAAGUAGCUUAAAAUAAGCCACCACAAUUUCUCAAAGUUUCUAUUAUAAUAUUAAUAAUUUAACAAAAAAAUAAUUAUUUCUUAUUUUUUUCAUACACUGUAAUACAUAAGCUAUUAGUAUCGUAUUACCACCACAAUUUACUGUCACAACUAGUUUGAGUUCUCUCAGUAUCAAAAUUUUGAUUUAGCAAGUUCAUAUUUUUUUUAUAUUUUAAUAUUAUUUUCUAUUAUAAAAUUAAUGAGACUUAUACAUGAUUACACAAAUUUUUUUAAACAAUGAACAAGUUCAUGUGAAAUUUAAACAUAAGUCUUAAAAUCAAAUUCGUGACUAUAAUUUUUAUCGUUCAAUCUAUUUAUAUUUUUUCUAUAGUCACGGUAUUCAUUGCAACAAGUUGAUUAUCUGCUUUUAAGAGUCUUGUUACAAUUUCCUUUGCAUUGAUUCUCUGCUUUGGUGAUUCCACAGUAAUGCUCUAUAGCGAAAUUGAAGACAAAUGACAUGAACUUAGCAGUUUUGCACCAACAACUUCCAUAAUUGAAUUGGGUAGCAUAUCAUUAACCCAACGCUUUAAUGUCAUUUUUCCAUGAAAAUUUUCAUCUGUGGGUUUCUUCCCAUUGAAUGUUUCCAUUAUCAUUAUCCCAAAGCUGUAAACAUCCCCAUUUGUGGUUGCCUAUCCUUCUCUUCCAUACUCUAUGGAUUUCAACAAUUACAUGGUAAGAUAAAAUAAUUAACAAUAGCAUGCUCAAAUGAAGAUCGUAAAAAUAAAUAACAUAUCAUAAAGUAUUAAAGAAAUAAAAAAAUUAAUGUAGAACAAACUCGGUGGUGGCAAGUGUUUGUGUUUGAGUCAAUGAUUAAUCUUCUCUGAGUAAGAGUUUUGCCAUGCCAAAAUCACUCAAAUGAGCAACCGUAUUAUUGUCUAGCAAAACAUUACUCGACUUUAAAUCACAAUGAAUUAUAGGUGUUGAAUGACCAAAGUGUAGAUAUACCACAGCUGAUGCAACAUCUGUCAUUAUGUUUAAUCUUUGAAAAAUAUCCAAAAUGUAGUUGCUUGUAUACAAACACUUACCCAGAUUUCCAUGAGGCAUGUAUUCUAAUACCAAUGCCUUAAAAUCAUCAUUUGAACAACUACUAAUGAUUUUGAUAAGGUUUUGAUGGUGAAUACUUUUCAUCAUAUUGCAUUCAACAUUAAGGUUCUUAAAUGCUCCUCCAUAUUGCAAGUUAAAAACCUUUACUACAACCUCCAUCCCAUCUUGAAUUCGUGUCUUGUAAAUAGAGCCAAAACCUCCUUUGCCGAUUAGAUUGUUUUAAUUAAAUCCGUUGUAGCUAGAAAAAGUUCUAGGUACGAAAACUUUCUCCAAGUUGCUACUAGUGGCAUAUUAGUAUCAUUUGGACUUUGGUAUUCGUUUUCCUCUCUUUCCAUAUCUCUAGAUCAACACAAUGAGUACUAUCAUAAAUACAGUACUCAAUGGCAAGACAAUCCCUAGGAGAGGAUCAUUUUCCCUUGAUGUGUGGUGGAUUCUAGUCUUUUAAAUUUUUGAAAAAGCAUAAAAUACAGGUGGCUAGUGAAUAUUGCCCUUUUAUUUAUCAAGCUCAUGUGUCAUGUCUUGUCUUUUGAAUUUAAUGCCUUCUUUUAUUUGUUUUAUUACCCAAUUCGUUCAAAAUAAUCACAAUUAUGCCACUUUUUAAUUUAUAGAAUUUAGAAUAUUACCUUUAAGUUAGUAGAAUUAUCCAAAUUUUUAUUGGGAUUGGGAAUCUCGUCCUGAAUCAUAUAGAGUUCAAUUCAAUAUAAAUUUUUUUAAAAUUAAUUUAAAAUUAGUUGAGAUUUAAUAUAAAAUUUUUCCUAAUUUAUUAUUUAGAAUAUCUGAAAAUCUCAAUCAAAAUAUUGAUUGCCUUGACUAUUGUUUUAAUUUUUAAUUAACUAAAUUUAAAAAAAUCAUUUAUCUUAAAAUAAACAAAAAUGAUUGACCCAAGCACGAAUCCAACAAAUUCACUACUUUGCAUUCACUUUUAGAGUUUAUUUAUUUAUUAUUUAUUUUUUUAGCGACAUUCAGUUUUAAAGUUUAGUUAAACUAAACAGAUGAAGAAGAAAAUAAAUUAGGUUGUUGAUUUACAUAUUAAAUUUAGAUAAUGAAUGGAUAAAAUGGGGACGUUGGUCUUUAGAAUCGCAACUUGCAAUAUAAAGCAAGAAAAAUGUGAGAGUCACAAGUUUUACCAUUUCUCUCUUAUAUACAUAUCUAUUAGGAUGAGUUGAGCAGCCAUAUAACUCUUUAGUUCCAAUAAAAGAUAACAAAUUAACUUUUCAAACAAUAUAUAUAUAAUUACGAUGAUUUUUCAUUUGUUCGUUGGCUUUUGCACCUUGGUGCCGAAGCAACGAAGGACGUGGGGCAAUUGCUGGAUACGAAAAUCACCCGCAUGAUUAACUAUGAGAAGGCCCAAUGACCAAGCCCAACAGAAAAAGGACCAAAUGGAAGCCCAAUAUUCUUUCUACUCUUGACACACCAGACACAGCAAAUGGAAUCUUCCUCAAGCAAGACUUAUUAAAAUCACAUUUAUUAAUUUUAUUUCUUUUACUUUCAAAAAAAAAUUGAUAACAAAAUAGCUAGGUUGAGAAAUGUGGUCAAGAAGUGUGUGCAAAUUUUAAAAAAAAAUUAUUAUUAUUUUCAUAAAUUUAUUGAUUGUAUUUUCUAAUUAAAAAAGGAUACUUUUUUGUCUGUAUAAUAUAUAUGAGGUUAUAUGUGGAACUGCAUGAAAGAUCAAACUUUUCAAUAUUAAAUUUUACUAAAAAUAUAGUGUAGGAUUAGGUGAUUUUCACCUAAGAAAAUUUUAAAAAAAAAUCACCAAAUACCAUAAUUAGUUUUAAACUUUUCAAAAUUAUUUUUGAGCGUCCCAUUUGCUUCUUGAAAUAACUUCUUAUUUGUUGACAUGAAGGGAUAAUGUGAAAGUGCCUCUAUUGUAAAUUAAAUUAUUAUUAUUAUUAUAGUUGUUAUAGAACUUUAUUUCUUGUUAUACUCAAGAUACACUCAUAAAUCACAGCUUAUAAUGAUUUGGGUGGGGUACAAAAACAAAAACCUUUAGGACAGAUUUGUAUAUUUUCAUUUUUACAACAAAAUCCAUUUUUAGAUGGACAGUCCCUCACACAAUCAGAAUCUUGGGUGCAACGAAUUGGUAACCCUCCAGUGUAGGCUUCAGCACUUGGCAACUCAAAGAUUGUGGUGCCUGCCAAUUGACAUCAAUAAUUCAUGAUUAUAUAGAAAUGAAAUAAAAAGCGAAAUGUGUUAGCAAUUAUCAAAACAAUAUACAGAGAGAGAGAGAUAUUUGGGACAUUGACUAACCAUGUGCAACGAUCAUGAGUACGACCAAGAAAGUUAGUUUAAACGAGACUUUCUCCAUUUGCUGUAAGAAAAAGAUUAUGCAGGAUGUUUCUUUGAGUGGGAAAAAAAAAUCUAAAAAAAUUGUAUGCAAGAACUUUGUUCUUCACCUCAUAUUUAUAGAGAUGUAAUAUACAAAUGGUAAAAUGGCACACCCAACUUCUACGUUAUUUUAUAGAAAAAUCGCAAUAAAUCAAAUAAACUUGCAACAAAUUAAUAUUCAAAUCAUUAAACCUAGCCUAAUAGGAAACAAUAAAAAAAGGAAAAAAAUUUUUUUUUUCAUUUUUUUCCAGCUUCGCAUUAACAACGCAGACACAUUUUCCGUUGUUAGUAAAAUCUCCAUCCAUCUUAGUUCAUAAAAUUAAUUGCAUCAUUACAAUGUCAAUCAGCAUCUAGACAGUAAAUGUAAGUUGAUGAUCCCACUAUUAAUUCCAUUUCACGUUGAUUAGGGUAAAAAAUAAAAAUAAAAAAUUUCUUAUAUUCAUGUAAUUUCUAUAAUCUCUUAAAAAUACCAUAUGAAGUAGGUCUAUUUUGCUAUUAACUAAAUAUCCCAGAUUUUGUAUUAUUGAAUCCAUUUAUUGCCUUAAGGCUGUAUAUAUGUAUAUUUUUUAACUUUGCUUUGAACUCAUCUCGUGCCAUUGAGAUUUUGACUUUCUUCUGUUUAUUGCUACCAUUUUGAAAUUAAACAAUUGAUCAACUUAUUAAUAAUCGAUCAACUUAAUUUUAUUUAAUUGAUCAACCUAGUUUUCUUUCAUUAACGUUUUAUAGCAUGAUUCAUUCGUGAUAUAUAUUUACAACAUUUUUUUUAUGUGUCCUUUGCUUCAAUUCACUCAUAAUAAAUCUUAAAAUCAUUAUCAACCAUCGUGAUUUAACUAUAAUAGUCUGAAAACAAUUUGAAAAAAAAUAUAACUCUAUGGAUAAUUCAAUUUUAAGGGUAUUAUCAGACAAAUCAUUGCACUAACAAUUUUGAUUGUUUGCUUGCAAAAGUAAAAUAUGCAUUUGUAUAACUGGUUUUGCAAUAAGAAAAAAUGUUAAAAGGUACCCCAAUUUUUUCUUUCAAGUUUCAAGUUAAUUAUAUGGUUGCUAAGUGAAUUAAGAAAGUAACCUCAUUGGCCUCUCUUAUAAUAUGGAUGUCUUUUGAAUUAUCUUAAUUUAGAAUUUAUUGACAUACACUAAUUGAUAAUUAACUUUUUUGUUCUCAUAAGUGAUCUUCUUCUUUAUGCUUCACCAAUGGUGACAACAUUUUAAAUCAAUGAGAUAUUCAUUAUAUUAGCAGAAAUUACGAGGGAUCUCAACGAGAAUAUUAGAAUAACCCCAAAAUAAUAAAAAGGAUGAUUGUGGCUUGAAGACUGGUUCUCGCCACAAGUUGGGCUGGUUUAUGCUCAAUCCACGGCCAUAACAUCCUAGAAAAAGUUGAAUAAAUAAUAUUUUGUGAGUUCUUGAUGGAGCGAGAGUAGCGGAAGCAAAACUGAUUGGGUAAGACAAAGCGGAAGUGGAAUUGAUAGGAUUGAAAACACUAAAUAUCAUUCUAAUACUUGACCAAGCCAACACGAUUAGGUUACGCUUUAAUCGAAGCAUGAUUAGAUAUCAUUUUAAUCCAAACGACUCAAUAAGAUUUUUAAUAACGUUUAAAGUGAGAUUAUAUAACGUUUUAAUCCAAACAACUCUACAAAAGAUAUUUUGAUAGAUAAUUCCAGAGGAAAUUAUAAAAGAGGAAAUUUUAUUAAAUAAUUGAAUCUGAAGUUGUGAAAAUAAUAACAAGACCUCUAUAUUUAUAAUAGAGUAAACUCAUUUCCCUAAGUUAACUUAAAAAAAGGAAAACUAAAUCGUAAUUAUAAUGGAAAUAAAAUAUACUUUCUCUAAGUUAACUAAAUCUCAUGCCUUAAUUGACUCUAAUAAAAAUAGAAAGUUCUAAAAUAAUAAAAUACCAUAAUUGACUCUAAUUAAAAUAGAAAUCUUAGAAUAAUAAAAUUCUAGAAUCUUAAAAUUUCUAAAAUAACGUCCUACAUUAGUUCUAGUUGAUAUUGUUAAUUUUGCAGAAAAUAUUUUUUAAGAUAUUAAAAUCUUCAUAAAUCUUUUAUAGACCUUUCCUCAUUUAGGCCUUCUCGAAAAGCUAGAACUUACAAUCAAACUUUUGCCCCAUUAUAUAACAUAUGUUAGUAAAAUUCAUUUUUACAAAUGAUAAUUCUAUUCACCCCUUUCUUUAUAUUUUCUAAAAGAUCUAAAAUUUUACUCCCAUACUUACGGAAAAAUUCAAACCUUCCAAUGAUAGGCGAUGGUGAUGAUGAGAGAGAAAGAAAAAUAAAAUAAAAAUAAUUAAUAAUAUAAAAUUUUUUAAUUAUAGUAAUUUUAAAAAUAAACAUUUAAUACCCAUAGCUAAGACAUCCUUGAGUUGGGUUGGGACCCCAGGCAUGGUCAUAGCAGGUAUGAAACCUUUUCAAUUGUUCGGUUCCUUAGUUAGCUCCUCAAACUUCAGAAAGUAUACAUUUCCGAGGAGGUGUCUUCACCUAAAACCAAAUCAACUUAUUUGAGCUCAACAAAAGUUUGUAUCUCCCUCUAAGUAACAUAUAUUUAUCUGGUCUCAACAUACACCUAAUAUUGAAAUUCUUUUCAAAAGCAUCACUUCAUUCAAUGAAAAGCACAUUGGCCAAUGUAUUUGCAGUCUUUUACUAAGCGGGUACCAUCAAGAUCAACCGCUACACCACUUUUUAUGCUAUUUCAAAGAAGAUUAUAAAUAUUUUAGAGUUCCACAAACUCUAUAAUAUAGAAACUUAAAUCAGUGCACUACGCAUAAAUUUCGUACAGAAAGAAUAUUCAAACAUCUCUAUAAACACAAACUCUCAAGAUGUUUUAGAGUUAAACAAAGCUACCAUUUCAUGCCUAGAAAAAAUGUAACAAUUUUUCCCACCAGAGUGGUUAUUACUCAAUACGGAUUUGCCUCAAGUCACCGGAGAGGCUUUUAGAGCAAAUUCAACAAUUUUGGGUUCUAAAAUUUUGCUCUUUAAAGCGUUAUUUUGGCUUAGUGUUUCAAUUAUCAAGAAGAGGUAUAAAGAUCAAUGGCUCCUACUAUCCUAGUUUUAGCUUAAUAUGUAUCUCUCAUUUUAAUUAAUAUGGUUGUUUCUUAAAAAGUUAAUUAAGAUCAUUGGCUUUGAAUUACUACUAUAGGAUUUCGAAAAUGAUAAGCACCCUAUUUCUUCUUCAUCUUUAAAAUCACCCAACAAACCAAAGUUUGUUCAAAUUUAAAUGUCCCUACUAUAUCAGUGCUAACAUUUGUCUCAAAAUUUUGCUCCAUUAAUCCGUGAAUUCAAAAGGAACAACGAUCUUUUCCUAUCCCUAGUCCUUUUUUAUUUUUAUUUUUAUUUUUAUUUUUUACUCUCAUAGUUUAGUGAGUGGCUAAGAUUGAAUUUUAAAUUUUAAUAUUGAUAAUCAAGUCAGCUUUUUUUUUAAUUUUAUUUACAAUUAAGCCAACUUUAAAAAAAAAAAAGAUUUGAAUAACUAGCAGAGUUUAGGAGAGAAAAAAAAAAUUAAGAGAGAAUCCUAAUCCAACUUGGAGACUCAUGUUGAUACUUGUAGAGACUGUUCUGCUGCCUUCCACGUAGAAAAAUAUUUACUUGGAUUGAGACUAGAGAUUUUUUUUCCUUAAAAUAUCUUUUUUUUAAUCAUAAGUUUGUGAGCAACAUAUAUGAAUCACAUUGGUGUUGAGGUUUGAUUUUGAACAAGUCAUCUUUAGUUUAAAAUUAUAAUACGAACCGAUAUCUAAAGGUCUGGCUUCUAAAUCAGAUAAAAGUUUGUCCAUAAUUAACUCCUGGCGAUGCCCAAAAACUCUAUGAACAAAUUAUUAUACAAGCAAGCUGCUGCAUGAUUAUAUUUCUUAUUCGUGGAUAGCACUUGUAAUAAUUCAACUUGAUUUUCUUUCAAUGACGAUUAUAGCAUGAUUCAGUCAUUAUGUUUAUCACAAAUUUUUAUUUGUUCGUGUCGUUUUGCACAUUGGCACCAAAGCACAAAGUACAAGGGGCAAUUGUUCGAUAUGAAGAUCACCGGCAUGGUUAACAGUAAAAUGGCCCAAUAAGCAAGCCCAAGUGCAGAAGGAACAAAUGGAAGCCCAAUAUUGUUUUCACUCUUGACACCCAGGAAAUCAAGCAAGACUCAAUAAAAGCACAUUUAUUAAAUAUUUUUUUAAUUUUAAUUUCUCAAACGAAUUGAUAACAAAUAGCUAGGUUGAGGAGUAUAUGUGAAUAUUGUUGAUAGGGUAGUACUAUAAAGGUAAAGAAAAAGUAAAGAUGAUAGUAUAAUAUAUUUAAUAAUAAAUGUAUAUUAAAGUACUUUUUAAAAUAUAAGAAUUAAAUAAGUAUUUAAAUCAAAAUAUAAAAACCAAACAAGUAUUUACUUGAUAAAACAUCAUAGAAGUUAUUUUGACACCCAAGACUUUUAAGUAUUUAUUAUAAAUAAUUGCAAAGCCAAUUAUUUAUUAUUUAUAAUGAAACUGAAAUUUAUCUCCGCGUGAAAAUAAAGGACUGAAGGCGAGAAAAGAUUCCUCUCCACGUGAAAACAGAUGUUGAAAUGUUUUUGCUAUUCGUUUGAUGAUUCGAGGAUUCACAAUUGCCGAUAAGUCCAAGAAAAAUUCCAAAAAUUAUCUUCCAAAAAUAAAGGAGUUAAUUGUGUGUGCUUUAUGGUAUAACAUUUUUGUCGAUACUCAACCCAACUCAGAAAUCACGAGUUGCACAGUCAAUGAAAAAGAAGACAAAAGUCAAUAAAAGCAAAGACAUUAAGACAUUGACUGAUGAUAGCAUGGUGGGACAUUAAGUAUCCCUAGGGAUUAAAGUAGAAAUUUAAUAAAUUUCUUAUCUCAUAAUUUUUUAUGAAAAUAAUAUUUAAUAAAUUUGUAAAAAUUAUUUUUUUAUAAUUUUUUUAUUUUACUGCAUUUUUUUUAAAAAAGGUUGAAAUUUACUUUUCAUAAGCAAUUUAAAAUAAGCCAUCACAAAUUUUCAAAGUUUAUAUUAUAACAUUAAUAAUUUAACAAAAAAGAUAAUCAUAGCUUAUGUUUCCAUACACUCUAGUUUAUAAGCCAUUAGAUAUCAUAUUAGCAUAAUAAUUUACCAAUGCAACUGAUGUGCAUUCUCUCCAAUAUCAAAGUUUUGAUUUAGUAAUUUCAUAUUUUUUAUAUUUUAUUUUUAUUAUAAAAUUAAUGAGACUUAUAUAUGAUUACAUUUUUUUUAAUUACGAACAAGUCCAUGUGAAAGUUAAUCAUGACUUUUAAAAUUAAUUUCAUAACCAUAGAUUUUAACGUUCAAUCUAUUUUCUAUAGUCAUGAUGCAUGAUGCUCAUGAUGCUCAUUGCAACAAGUUGAUUCUCUUAUUUUAAGAAUCUUGUUACGGUUUCCUUUGCAUUGAUUCUCUGCUUUGGUGAUUCCACAGUACACUCCAUAGCCAAAUUGAAGACAAAUGACAUACAUUGCUCUUUGGUCAUAAAAUGUUUGUCCUCCCGACUUAGCAAAUUUGCACCAACAACUUCCAUAACUGAAUUGGGUAGCAAAUCAUUAACCCAAUGCUUUAAUGUCAUUUCUCCAUGAAAAAAAUUAAUUGUGGGUUUCUUCCCGCUGAAUGUUUCCAUUAUCAUAAUCCUAAAGUUAUAAACAUCCCCAUUGCGGAUACUUUUCCUUCUCUUUAAUACUCAAUGGAUUUCAACAAUUAUAUACUACGAUAAAAUAAUUUACAAUAAUAUGCUCAAAUGAAGAUCGUAAGAAAUAAAUAACAUAUCAAAAAAUAUUAAAGAAAUGAAAAAAUAUUUAAUGUGGAACAAACCUGGUGCCAUAUAGCCUAUGCCAAAAAAUGAGCAACCAUAUUAUCGUCUAGCAAUACAUUACUUGACUUUAAAUCACAAUGAAUAAUUACAUGUGUUGAAUGACCAAAGUGUAGAUAUUCCACAGCUGAUGCAACAUCUAUCAUUAUGUGUAAUCUUUGAAAAAAAUCCAAAAUGUAGUUGCUUGUAGACAAGCACUUACCUAGACUUCCAUGAGGCAUGUAUUCUAAUAUCAAUGCUUUAAAAUCAUCCUUUGAACAACUGCUAAUGAUUUUGAUAAGGUUUUGAUGGCGAAUAAUUUUCAUCAUAUUACAUUCAACAUCAAGGUUCUUAAAUGCUCCUCCAUAUUGCAGGUUAAAACCCUUUACCACAACUUCCAUCCCAUCUUGAAUUCUUGCCUUAUAAAUAGAGCCAAAACCUCCUCUGCUAAUUAGAUUGAAAACCUCCUCUGCUAAUUAGAUUGCUUUCACUAAAUCUGUUUUAGCUUGAAAAAGUUCUAUGUAUAAAAACUUUCUCCAAAUUGUUGCUGGUGGCAUAUUAGUAUCAUCUGGUAUGUGUUUUCCUCUCUUUCGAUAUCUCAAGAUCAACACAAUGAGUACUAUUAUAAAUAUAGUACUCAAUGACAAGACAAUCCCUAGGAGAGGAUCCUUUUCCCUUGAUGUGUGGUGGAUUCUAGUUCUGCAUGGUGGAACUUGCAGAUUGGGUGUGCCACACAAUAAUUCAUUUCCUUCAAUGAUUCAACUAAGAAAUUUCUAAAAGGUCUAGGAAUCUUUCCUUCGAGCGUAUUGAAAGAAAGAUUUAAAUCUUUGAGAUCUAAAAGUUUUUCUAAUGGUAUAGGAAUAGCCCCAGAGAAAUUAUUAUUGGACAAAUCCAAGGAUUUCAAGCUUGUCAAAUCACCAAUGGAAUUACGAAGUGAGUCUUGCAAUCUAUUAUAUUCUAAAAAGAGAUAUUAUAGAUCAUUUACGUCACCAAUUGUAGUUGGAAAAACACAUGAGAAAUUAUUCGUCGACAAAUCUAUUCUUAACAAAACCUUCAAAUUAGACAUCUAAUUAAAUUAGAAAACAGAUAUUCCUAAUAAAUUAGAAUCUCACUAAAUUAGGGAAUUAAUAAAUUAAUCUCUAUUACAAGAUAUGCAAUAAAUAAACUUCAAAUUUAACUAGACUUGCCAUAAGAUGCUAACUCUAUAAUAAUUGACUUAACACAAAUCUUUGCUAAGCUUUUGAAUAAAAUCAUGACAUGUCAUUUAAGUUUUUUAGGCUUCGUUUGGUAUAUAUUUUCAAGCAAAGUCUAUUUAAGUAGAGCUUCUAUUAGUAGAAUUUUAAUAAGCAAAGCUUUUAUAAAAAAAGAUUGUGUUAUUUGGUCGUCAAUUAAAUGAUAUUUAAUAAUUAAAAACUCUACUCAAGAUGUAACCAAAUAAUAUUAAAAUUUCAUUAUUUAUAAUUUUUUAUUAAUAGAGCUAUUAAUUAAUGAAUAAAUGAUAUUUUAUAUCAUUUUAUUAAAAAAAGAAUGAACAGCAAGAUUGUAAGCACCGUGAAUAACUGUGUAAUCGGCCAAAUACCAUUGAAGAAAUUCGGAGCUCCACACGUGUCUCAGCCGCUCGCACGAGUGCGAGAAGAAUUUUCGGGCCGUGGAUCUCUCUUGUUACCAAGGAUGCUUCUCAGCAUAUCGUAGCCUGGGGACUCUCCUGGGCUUAAUUAAUGUAAUCAGCCCAUCCAGGUCACCUUACGAGGUUUGCGUUAGUGCAUAAAAUACUUUCGUUUUUAUCAAUCAUUUAUCAUUAGGAGCAAGAGGGGAAAAAGAAAAUUGGUUACCUUCUGUUGUCCUUGUGAAUGGUGUGCGUUCGUUUUUAUUAUAAUACACAUAAAAAUUUAUUUCUUCUAUAGGAACAAUGAGCAAAGGUAAAGUUAUCUAAUCAUGAUUGAUUGCUAACUAAAAAAUAUAUCUAUAUUUUACUAAUUUUAUUUCUUUAAUUUUUUAUCUCAAUAUAAAUAGUAAUAAUUAUUAUUUUUUAAAAUUUAAUAAUUUUAUUUCUUAAUUAAGUAAGGAUAAUUUUAGACACAAAUAUUUUUCACUCAAUCCCUUAGGUACUAAUACUUCUUAUUGAUCUCUGAAGUUGCUUUUACUUACUUAUUUAAACCAUAUAUGAAAUUUGAAGAAUGUCAAUCUCAUGAUAUUACAGAUUCUCCGUAGAUAUUCUUUGACAUCUAAUUUGAUUCGAUGGACAAAUUAUUAUUAACAAAUUAGUAGCUUCUCCUCAACAAAAUGAGUAUUGAUGAGCACUUCUCUUUCAGAGUCACUUAUGGAGAUUGAUCUUGAUGUGAAUUUCCUGUUAGGGAACCAUAAUCUCUAGAAGUGGUUCCGAAUAUAGAAUUUUCUUCUCUAGUACGAAGAGAUUCUGCAAUUCCGGGUCACUUGAGGACAUCGUUGUCGCCUUGCAAGCGGAAGAUUCUUCACUCAGUCCUAAGAACAGAAGCUGAAUCAACUCAGUCGGCUGAGUUAGGAUAGAAUAACAUUACUAGAAGAAAAUUGACCUAUAUUUUACCUUUUUAGUUCUUAAUCUCUUUCUUAACAUGGCAAUUAGGUCAAGAGGAAAAUGAUUUGAACAAUUUGAAGCUUCUUAUCUGAGGUUACCUAGGAAUAUUCCAUACUCAUGGGAAUUUGGCUCUUUUCAUUUCUCAGCACUAAGGAGUUUAAGCACAGUCAAUAAUGAAACCCAAUUGAGAAAUAUUAUCAUCUGUUGCCUAUGAUUUCAACUGGACCAAAAUGUUUGUUUUUCUUUUUAUCUUUUAAAAAAAAAAUGAUUUAGCGAUCAUGUCACUGGUUUUUUCAACAAGAUGAAUGAUUUCAUCUUCUCAUUUAUGAACAAUUCUUUCCAGCACUCUUUAGGAGACUCACGCUCAUUCACUAACCACUCACCAUGCUCAGAAUGCAAAAUGCGAAAUAGGAGUAAUAUAAUAAUUUACUUGUCUAAUUUCAACACAUUUUCAAACUAAUUAAUCCCACUACAAGAAAAAGUUAUUUAUGUGACCACUAUUUUGCAGUUACGUAUGGCCUAUAUGACAGCUAUGUAACGGCAGAGAGGGGUUACAUACGCGGCCAUUGCAAAAGCUUUGUAACCGUUGCAAAUGCUUUUUAACUGUACUUUUGGCGUGCAGUAACAAAAGGUAGUAACGGUCACCAAAAAAAAAACCACCUAAAUGCGGCCACAUUAAGUAAUGGGUUGGAUGCAAGUUUUGUGACAGGUGGAAGCUGUCACAAAUUUGUAAUGCUUAAUUAUUCAUAAUUUUGUGAUAUUUGACUAUUUGUCAAUAUUUUAUCUCAUUUUCCUGAUAUUUGUCAAUGACAACAAAAAUUCAACAUUGUUCAUUACAACAGUACAACACUAAAAUUAAUUAUCAUGAUACCAUCCAUAAAGUUCAAAUUAUAUACUGAAAAUGAGAGAUUAACAUCAAGCCGCAAGUCUCCAAGUCAAAAAUUAAAAGUAUACACAGAUGCAAAUACAAGCCUACGAUACAAAGUCUUACAAAAAAAAGAAAAAGUGUGAAUCCAGGGGUCUCCAAUGCAUCUUAUCAAACGAUAGCCUACAAUAGAAGCAACAAUAUAUUAAAAAUGUGCGAGACAAACACACUUAAAUAUCAUAAUUAUAUAACUAAGCACUUCUUGCUAGCAAUAAUUAGAAGCGCUCUGGUACAACUGUUAAUGUCUCUAUCCUUUGUUGAAACUCUUAGUUAAUUUGCAAAUCUAAUAUUCAUUUUCCAAAAAUAAUAUCAACAUUGAACAUAUGAAAAAUAAUGAAUCAUAAUUUUACAAGUAAAAGUAUUUAUCUAUAAAUAGACGUCAUAAUUUGCAGCAUAACUGCAUGACGGUGUUGAUGCGCAUUGGAAGCAUCGACUAUCUACUAAAAAAACAAACAUUUUGUUUUUCCUAAGAAACACAGAAGGAAAUGUAGUCUAUAGAUUGAUGAUGAAUAUGCAGCCAAUAUAUUUUACUAAAUUGUAAGAUGUAGGAAAUGUAGGGAAGGGCAUUAAGUUGCAAGGUUCAGUUCCAAGUUGGCAAUAAAAAUUGCUAUUAUGCUGCAACUUUUCUCAAUAUACUCCACACUUUUCACCCUAAAUUAUACAUUUAUUCUAAAAAAAAUUUUAAAAAUCAUUUUGAAUUUUAAGUAAAUAUUCACUAUAAUCUGAUGAUUGUUAAGUUCAACUUUAAUUAAUAUUUUACUAGAUAUUUGGAUCGAAAAUAAAAGCCUUCAUGUUGGCAUUGCCUUGUCCAGCCUUCACUCCUUUGACUAACCUUGAUUUAAACAUUAUUCAAUUCUCAUUUGAUUCUGAUUAGGUUAAGAUUAUAGAUCGUCUAGCAAAUGAGUAGUACAUUAAACAACUAAAAUCUUCAAAUAAAUGUCUAGGAUGGUCAAUCCAAAUACUAAGCUAUUAACUGCUAAUGUUUACAUUUUAGAGUUUUAAUUUUUUUUACUUUAGAAUUUAUUUGAUUUAGCUGUUACUUUUAAUUUUUAAAAUAUUUAAAAUAAAUAAGUAGACAAUGGUCAAAGGGUUUAGUAAUUGCGUACACGUAUUAGUGUUUUAUAUCCAUACCUAAUGCACCCAAUGAAUAGGUAUAAAAAUUUAUAUCCCUAUUCAAUUUUUUAUAAAAUAUAGAUAAAAUUAGACCUGACGCCUAAUUUUAACGUAACAGUCCCUUGUGCUUGUAGGGAUUUUUUGCCAUCCCUAUAUGGGACUAGAACAAAGCUAACACGCCUAUCUAAUGAGACUGGACCAUAAUUUUAUUUAAUAGAUCUUAGGCCUGGAUCAGUCUAGUUGCUUCCUUUUUGAUACCUUUGGCUGCUAUUUAGGUAGCAUUUACUUCUCAUAUUAGAGCAGGAAUUGUGAGAUUGAGAGUAAAAAUAGGUUGUUUACUUACAUUAAAAUGAGAGUAUAGAAUAGGAAUCAAAAUUCCAUUUAUGUGUUUAUUUGUUUUAGAUUAAGAGUCAAUUGUUUUAAAUUAUAAUUUUACCCUUAUUUAAAAAAUUGUAGAUUUUAGUUACAAGUGAAUGAAAAAUAUAUUUAUAAAAUAAAAUAUUUAUUUUAUUAUUAAUUUUAAUUAUAUAAAUUAAUAAUAAUUAUCAAUAUUCUUAAUUAUAUAAACCACAAUUUUUUAUUUAAUUUUAAUUUAAUUAAUUAAACUAAAAUUAUUGAUAAGGGCAACACAAAUGAAACAUCAUUAUUAAUAAUAUACUGCAAGGUUAAUAUUUUCUUAGAAUAAACUAUUUAUUAUUAUUAUUAUUAUUAUUAAUUAAUUAAUUAAUAUUAAAGAAAUAUAAUACUAUUAAAAUUAAAUAAAUAUAAUAAUAUUAUAUUUAAUAAGCCUAAUAUUAUUAUUUUUAAUAAAUGUAUUAUUAUUAAAUAAUAUAAUAAUAUUAUUUAAAUAGAUAUGAUAUUUUUACUUUUAAAUAAAUGUAACAUUAUUUUAUUUUAAUGAAUAUAAUUAUAUUAUAUUUUAUAAGAAAAGGGUGAAACAAGAAGAAGACCUCCUCAGGGUAGUGGAAUCCUCUUAAAUUUCUAGCCUUAACGACACCAUAUCAUCUCCUUGGUCACCACGGACAAAAUUUCUAUUGUGAGCGACGCCGUUUUGUUCUCCAUGCUCCCUACCCAAAAAUCCACAAGCGGUGACUUCAUUCAACUUUUCCCAGCCCACUGACAGUGACGAGCGUCACACCCACACACCGUAUUAGGAAAUAAUAAUAAUUAUAAAAUUUUGAUGAUGAUGAUUGAAAUUAACUACCAAUGUUGAAUUCACCGUUAAGACCCUGAGGGAAACAAAUUUCGCCAAAAGCGAUUUGUUUCAAAGAGAUUUAAUUUCAAACAACUUUGAUUCGACAGUUACUCUCAUUCACUUCUAAUACUGCUAAUAACUUAAAGCUAAAAUUUUUCUUCUUCAGUAGUUAGAUCUGAGCAGUGCAGGGUGCUAAUACAUGAGUAUUUGUACUACAAUUUUUAAAUUGAUUAAAACAAAUCGCUUCACUGAUCAGAAUAUCAUCGAUACCCCAAAAAAAAAAAAUAUUAAGAAUUUUUAGAAUUCACAUGACAAAAUAUGUGUAUAAUUGAUUUACGUGGGCUUUAUGAAUCAACCAUCGAAAAGCCCACAACCUGAUCCAACGACACCGAUUCUUCUCGGCCACUGAGCAUAAAUUUCCCAAGUUUCAUAGUGAACGACACCGUUUUGUUCUCCUUGCUCGCCACGCAAAAAACUGCCAAGGAGUCACUUCACUGAAGUGCAAAUGUCAGUUAUCUUCACAGUUCACACGUUUAUGAAUAAAUUGAAAAAAAAAUAGAGAAAUUAUCCUAAAGAAAAUAGAGAAAUCAUGUGCGCAAAACCUUGCAUCGACUAUUAUUGUAAUGUGCUACAUAGAUAUCAAUUUAAUCUUGGAGUAAUGAUCUUGUGGGUGAACACGGUUCUCACCUUACGGUGAGUAGUAGUGCCACAUGGCGAUGUCCGGUCUGCGUGUCCAGUGCUAAAUAAUCUAGAUAAUUUUUUAUUCUUAUUUUUAUUUGUCAUUAUUGGGUGCUUGUACAGCUGCUCUGGGUGUUGCUUUACCAGUGUACUCAACAUUCAAGGCAAUUGAGAGGAAAGAUGAAGAUGAGCAACAAAAGUGGCUCAUGUAUUAGGCAGGUUGGAAUUUAUUUUUAUUUUUAUAAUUUAUUAUUAUUAUUUUUUGUUAGGCUUGUCACCUUGCUUGUUUUGGUACAUGAGGUUUUCAUAGAUUCCCAAAUUUCCUCUGCAUCCAUUAUUUUUAGCCCAAGCGUUUUCCUGUUAGAUGCUUUGAUCAGUUGGCCAAAAAAAUUGAAUAUUACCUUUAUGGUUAUAGUUAUGCUGAGAUCUUGCAUGGGUGAAAAUAUAUAGCUCUAAUAUUCAUGAUGACCAUCAAUGAUGAAAGUAACAAAUGCGCAGAAAUGCUUAUCAUAUGUUAAUAAAUUUUGUAAUCAAUAAAAGGUAUGUUGAUAAAUUUUGUCAUUUGCAUUUGAAAGGCGUACUUGUGGUAGUUCAUUCCAAGUGGGUACGUAAGCCUUUCCAACUAGUUUGCACUGAGCCAAAAAAUACGCUUCCAUUUCUCUAAUUUGCUGAUCAUCAUCACCACCUCCAUCAAAGUCAUCAUCCGAUCUUGAUGAUCAUUCUCCUGCUCCUCCACUGCCUUCAUCUCCUUCCUCCACCUCAUUAUUCAUCGCCGCCGCAGCGUCCGUGUCCCGGAAUACUCCAGCCUGCUAAUGAUAAUUAAUAAUUCGUCAAGAACACAACACCCACAUCAACAAAAAUGAAAUAAACUACUAAAAAAUGACAUAGCAAAGCAAAUAACGAAAAAAAAUAUAAAACAAUAAAGUAUUUAGGAUUUUGGAGUUAUAGAAGGCUUAGAGAGAGCGCAGGAGAGGCAAAGAAGUCUUUGGUUCGACGAGUGGGUGGCUUGCUACACGUGGACUCCCCCAUAGCAAUGAGAAAAUCAGGUGUUGAUGCUGAAAUCUGGUCGUCCUUUGCCCGACCUGAUCGUUCCACCAACGUUUGUGUUGUCCACGAAGGGAAGGUUGCACUCUCCCUGCUCGAGCAAUUGCCCGUGUUCCUGGGACCCAAAUCACCCUUUCUCGCCUUUCCAAGCAUGCGUUCAUAGAAACAAGUCAGAGACGCCGGUGGUUUUACCGGCGUAAACCCUCCGAUACUUAAGUUAGAACAAGGUGUUUACGGGUAAAUUGUAUGAUUUAAACGAGUAAACUGAAUACAGUAUUCUCGGCACAAUCUGUAUCGAAGAUCUGUGUAAAGAUGAGUUCGGAUUUUAAUUUGGCAGAGUUUUCCCUUUUCUCUCAAUUUUUUCAUCCCCUUCUUCAUCGGUCUCUCAGCUUCUUAUAGCCAUCAUCCCACGUUUUCUGAGUAUUCUUCAUGCCCCCCAUUUUCGGGUGAUGGCAGACCCUCAUGGGCCUCCAACCACCGAAUCGUGGGUAAACGUGGGAUGUCGUGUUCUCCCCCAUGGUUCGGGGCAUGGCGAAACUGUCGUGAUUUCGUGAGAUCGUGUGCUCUUCCUUUAGGUGAUGAGCAUCUGGUCGGUACAUAUCUCGGGUCGGUGCUCGUUUCUAGUUGGCACAUGCCCGUACACGAUAUUUACCAGGACUCUGCUUGGGCCAUUCAACUGGGGAGAUUUGCCUCAGGGUGAGAGAUGAGGACAUAGCUGAGCUGGUACUUUUCAUUACUCAACACCAGGAAAAAAAAAAGUUGUCUUGAGAGGGUUGAUGAAAUGGUUCUUGUGAGCAAAAAUGGUGACAUGUUGAAGUCUAAAAGAAUGAAGUCAAUUAUCAAACAAAGCAGAAUGAAGUCUAAAAACACAUUAAAAGAAAAGGAAUUGAUGUGUUUGUGUGUGAGAGAGAAAAAGAGAGUGUAUGUAUUUGUUUGUUUUAUUGAGAAACGAAAUGAUGAAAAAGGGUGUUAGGAGUUGACUGUUAGAAAUUCUGUGUGAAAAUGUGAGGAUUCAAGUCUCUCAACCAACUUUUGAAGGAUAUAUUAAUUAACACUAGCUAAUUGAAAUUUGAAAGUAUUCAAAUUAGUGUCAAAAUUACAUAUCCACCAAUAUUGCAAUUUGCAAUACUCAACUGAAAAUAGUUUUAAAGGAAAAAAUAGCAUUAACAUAAAUUUUGUUCUCUAUAUAGGUAAAAAGAAAUAUAUUUCAAACUCCAUUAAUUUUAUAUGUAGAAAUAUGAUGAAGAUUAAAUUUUCAUCCAUUUGAUAAUUAAGAAUCUAUCUAACUAAUUAAUAAUACUUUUAACAAAUCAAUGGAUAGCAUAGUCAAUAAAAUCAAAAUUACACACUUGUUGAGUUGAUUGAUUAUUUUUUUCCAAAGUAAUUAACUCAAAAUCUUGAAAAUUUCUCUAUACCUAAUGAAGAAAUAUGGUAUCCAACCUAAUGAAGAAAUAUGGUAUCCAACAUUGCUAGGCGGCGGUUUUAGGCUUUAGAGAAGCUAAAAUUAUAGAAAUGAAAGUAUUUUUCUUGCCCAAAUUUUUACUCUCAUAAGAAACUUUUAUUCUAUUCACAUUUCAUAAAGGGAAGACAAUAAAUAAUUAAAUAAGGGAUUUAACCUCAGAAUAUUAUGUGGAAACUCAAACUGUUAUUCUCAUAAUUGUUUAUGAGGCCACUCUGCCUUUUGUCCGAGUGAUUGCAUUAAUGGCAUUAAAUUGCAUAGAACGUAGGAAAUUGACCCACCACCAUCUAUUAUAACAUCACAAAUAAAUAAAAGUAAUGAUGAAACUGAAAUUAAUUCGAUCUUUUAUCUUGUAGCUAUGCUUGGUAAUUUCCACCUGAUUCAUGAUCCCAAUUAGAAUGCCUGAAAUAAAUGCUUUCUUUUUCUUGAUUGUAUCAUCAUCACUUUUGUGAAAAAAUUUUUUUUAAAAAAAAAACAGGGAUGCUGGGUCAAUCGGUCUUUAAACAAUUCGAUUAGACACGUGUUUACUACAUUAUUUUUUAUUUUAUUCAUAAGUGAUUAUCCACUUACUACUCAUUUUUCACACAAGUUUAAAAAAGCACAAAUUUUUCUUUCUUUUUUCUGAUAAAAUUUCCCUUGAAGUUGACAUUAUUUUCACUUGUUUCAUUGUGGUCUAAACUCUAUUAGAAAUUUGUUGACGUCAGAAUUAUCAAAAUCAAAAUGAAAUUUUAUUUAAUUUUUAAUCAAAUAAUAACAAAAAGAUGCAUCACUGGUGAACAGCAACUAGUGUUGGUGGCAUGGUGUGGCAAGGCGCGGUGGUGUGAGGAAUGGGGGUGCUGAAUCUACUUGAUGCUGCGUUCAGUGAUGUCACGCAGUGGCAGGAUAACUUAUCGUGACUGAAGAUGGUAAUGAGUGAAAGACAAGAGAAGAGGCUACAAAAUUUAUUUGACUGAGAAGAGAAGGUAAUGAAUUUUUUUUUUUUUAGAGAAAGAAGAGAUGAGACUACAAUUUUUGUUGGAGACCAAGAAGAGGCUGACCAUUAGAAAAAGAAAAGAGAGUGAGAGAGAGAGAGAAGAAGCUGAAUUUGGUGCGAGGAAGUAAGAAGACUUGUUUCAUUUUGAAAUAGAUUGAAGAUAGGCUUUGCGCCUUGCUGCUGCUGAUGCUUUUUUUUUUUUUUUCGUUCUUCUUCUCUACUACUUUGCCUAAAUUCUUUUAAUUUUUUGGUUUUGUGAUUUGGUUAUUGGAUUGAGUUUGGGAUUAGGUUUGGGUUUUAAUUCUUUUAAUUAUUUUCAUUUUUAAUUUUGAUUAUUUUGUUUCAUUUAUUAUAAUUUUAUUUUUUAUUUAAUAUCUAAAUUGCAAAAAAUAAUCAAAGUCAUCUAAUAUUUUUGUCAUUUAGAUCGGUGAAAUAGUAAUUUUACAUUAAAAGAGCAAAACAAUCAGCAUAUUAAUAUUAUGUUAAAUUCUCUUAUGGCGUUUAGACAAUAGUAAAAUAAUAAUACAUUUUGUAAAUUUUGGAUGGAAUUUUAUAAAAAGAAAAAUUGUAUAUUUUUGAAAAAAUAUAAAAAAUAGGUGGCAUAUGGAAUUGCCCUUUUAUUUAUCAAGCACAUGCGUCAUGUCUUGUCUUUUGAAUUUAAUGUCUUCUUUUAUUUUUUUAUUACCCAAUUCAUUCAAAAUAAUCACAGUUAUGCCACUUUUCAAUUUAUAUAUUUUAGAAUAUUACCUUUAAAUUAGUAGAAUCAUCCGAUUUUUUAUUGGGAUUGGGAAUCUCGUCCUGAACCAUAUAGAGUUUAGUUCAGUAUAAAUUUUUUAAAAAUUGAUUUAAAAUUAGUUGAGAUUUAAUAUAAAAUUUUUCCCAAUUUAUAAUUUAGAAUAUCUGAAAAUCUCAAUCAAAAUCUUGAUUCCCUUGACUAUUGUUUUAAUUUUUAAUUAACUAAAUUAAAAAAAAAUCAUUUAUCUUAAAAUAAACAAAAAUGAUUGAUCCAAGCACGAAUCCAAACAAUUCACUACUUUGCAUUCACUUUUAGAGUUUAUUUAUUUAUUAUUUAUUUUUUUAACGACACUCAGUUUUAAAGUUUAAUUAAACUAAACAGAUGAAGAAGAAAAUAAAUUAGUUUGUUGAUUUACAUAUUAAAUUUAGAUAAUGAAUGGAUAAAAUGGGGACGUUGGUAUUUAGAAUCGCAACCUGCAAUAUAAAGUACGAAGUGUGUGUGAAUAACAAGCUUUACCAUUUCUCCUAUACAUACAUAUCUAUUAGGAUGAGUUGAGACUUGAAAUUUUUGUUUUUUCUUCUCUCUCAUAAAAUAACUUGUUUUUCAAUUUUUAAUCAGCUAUAUAUUAGAACCACGUUGGUCUUGGGAUUUGAACGAAUUAUCUUUAGUUCAAAUAAAAGAUAAAAAAAUUAACUUUUCAAACAAUAUAUAUAUAUAUAUACAUAUACAUAUACACGAUGAUUUUUCAUUUGUUCGUCGGCUUUUGCACCUUGCUGCCGAAGCAACGAAGGACAUGGGGCAAUUGCUGUAUACGAAAAUCACCCGCAUGAUUAACUAUGAGAAGGCCCAAUGACCAAGCCCAACAACAAAAGGACCAAAUGGAAGCCCAAUAUUGUUUCUACUCUUGACACACCAGACACAGCAAAUGGAAUCUUCCUCAAGCAAGACUUAUUAAAAACACAUUUAUUAAUUUUAUUUCUUUUACUUUCAAUAAAAAAAUGAUAACAAAAUAGCUAGGUUGAGAAAUAUGGUCAAGGAGUGUGCGCAAAUUAAAAAUAAUAAUUAUUUUCAUAAAUUUAUUAAUUGUAUUUUCUAAUUAAAAAAUGAUAAUUUUAUGUCUGUAUAAUAUAUAUGAGGUUAUACGUGGAACUGUAUGAAAGAUUAAACUUUUCAAGAUUAAAUUUGUUAAAAAACUGAAGUAACAAAAAUAAAUUAGUCCGAUCUAUUGACUUGACUAGGCUAGACUGCAAACAUUAGCAUGUGGGUUCAUAUUUUUUUUUCAAGUAAUUUUUUUUAAUCUCUACAGUUUGAGUAAACAGCAAUGUAAUUUAUACCACACAGGUAAAAAUAAUUUAAGAAAAUAAAUAAUAUGAAAUAUAAGAAAAUUAAUGAUAAAAUAUGAUUAUAUUGGUUUGAAUAAGAAAAAUAUUUUUGUAUAAGAAUUCCAAUCUUAUGCAAUUUAUACCACAGGAAGAAAAAUAUAUAAUUAAUUCAAUCCAACUUAUUUUGAUUAUUAUUAUUUUGAAUAUAUAAUUAUUAUUAUAUAGAUGUGGAAAAAUAUAUAAUUAAUAUUGCCAGUAUCGCAUACAGUUGCAAAGCUACAGCCUUGCAUCUUGAACAACCUUCGGAUAGUCUUGACUCUUGAAACCAAAUACUCUGCUACACUUGAGUGUAGCCAAUGAACCGUGGUCCUUAGCUAUAAUAUGAUCAUGUGAUGGAGUAUUGUUAGCCUAAAGGGCUACAUAUAAUGUAAUUUUGAUGAUAACAAACAUGUUUAUUAAACAAUUUAAUAAAUAUUGUAUUUCACAAUUUUCACUAGUUUUUGAAGGAUAAUAUUUAUGCAAGUGAAUCAAGUGAAAUUAAGCUCAAGACACUCAACAGACAACGGCGAAAUCAAGAAUAAAGUUUAGAGCUCAAACGGACAAAUUAGUGUGAUAAAUUCUUGUAAAGCCGGUAUGAUUUAAUUGAUGCAUGAUUUAGCAUUUGAGAAGCUCAAGAGAGUAAUUUAAUUAAAUACUUUUCAUAAACUAAAAGUUUUAUUUUUAUAAAGUAAAGUAUUUUGUGGAUUUGAGUAAUUUGGACUUAAAUGCUAAGUUUUGAAAUCUUUGAUUUUAAUAAGUAUUAUUAUUAAAUUUCAGAGUUGGACGUUUGUACAAACAUUUGAAAUGUUUUGGGCCAUACUAUAAUUUAUGAAUAUUUUGGACUAAAGUGGAAGUUUUGAGAACUUUGAAAAAUAUGGGUAUUAUGUUGAAAAGGACCUUUUUGCAAAAUAAUAAUAUCUUCGGGGCCAUAUAAUAAUUUCAAAAAGUUUGGGAAAGACAACUAUUUUUAGGAAAUUCUGAAAUUGGACCUAUUUGUAAAGUUUUAUGAUAUUUUGGACCGUAGUAUAAUUAUAGAGAGUAUUUGAAGGCUUGGUUAGUGAAAUCCUCAAGCCGGGUGAGCUUGGAGGCGUGGACGUAGGCGGGGAUAGCCGAACCACAUAAAAUCCUUGUGUUUGUUUUCUCUUCCCUUACUCUUUAAAUAUUGUGCUUGAUUGAAUUUAUUAUUUUUUGAUUUGAUUAAGGCAAUAGAUUAAAUUGUUGUACGAAUUGUAUUGCAUAAAUUUUAAAAUCUCAAUUCACCCCCCCUCUUGGGUUGCAUAACUUGCAUUUCAAGUAUCACAUAUGCAAUUUUUGUAACGGAUAGACAAGAUGAAUUUAAGUGAAGUGAAAGCAUAAAAAAAAACAUAACUACAUAAAUGAAUCCCUUCAUGAUAUGUUUAGAACAGAGUUUUAUACAAGGAGUCGGUAUAGUGUCGAGCUCUCAAAAGUUGUCUUUGGCUACCAUUUGGCAGCUAAAGACCUGGUACAAUCCGUUUAUUAACCGGUUGCACAUUAUUUUAAAUUUAAAAAAUUAAAUAAAAUAAUAUAUUAAUUUAGAAAUUAUAGAAAAAAUAUUAAUAGUAAAAAAUAAAUAGAAAAUAAAAGAAAGAUAUAAUGUUGUCAAAAUCAAGAAAAAAUUUAUAUAAUAAAUUAAAAAUGUUUGUUUCAUAUAUUAUAUGUGAUGUGUCAUAUUUAACAUCAAAAUUUUUUAGAUGUUUUGUUAUUUUUCUCAAGUUUGUUAUUCUAAAUAACCUCAAAAAGUUUUUUCUUCCCGUCCGUUUUAUGUUUGACGUCCUUAUUGCAUGUUUGACCCCCAUUCUUACAUCUUUCACAUGACAUGUUGCAUGUUGACAUAGUUUUCAUGUUUAACCUCAUAUAUUACAUGUUUGUUCUCACUUGUUAUGUGUUUCACGUGAAAUAAAGUCAAAAAAUGAAAAUUAUCCCACUAUUUUAUGUUUCACGUCCGCGUUGCAUGUUUGAUUUCCGUUAUUGCAUUUUUUAUGUGAACUGUUACAUGUUGACAUGGUUCUCAUGUUUAACUUUAUGUGUUGCAUGUUUGACCUCAUCUAUUGCAUGCUUUACGUGACCUUUUUACACGUAAAUUUCAUGUUGCAUGUUUGACCUCACUUAUUGUAUGUUUCACACGGAUUGUUGCAUGUCUUGAAUAAAGCCAAAAAAUAAAAAAUUUCUCACUCGUUUCAUGUUUCACGUUCGUAUACCUCCAUUGUUGCAUCUUUCACGUGAACUAUUGCAUGUUUCUCAUCUUUAACCUCAUCUAUUGCAUGUUUGACCUUUGGUGUUGCAAGUUUUACCUGACCUUUUUACAUGUAAAUUUCAUGUUGCAUUUUUUAUCUCACUUGUUACAUGUUUGAUCUCACUUGUCGUAUGUUUCAUGUGCAUUUUCACAUGUUUGAAUAAAGCCAGAAAUGAAAAUUUUCCCGACUGUUUCAUGUUUCACGUCUGUGUUACAUGUUUGAUCUUCGUGUUGCAUCUUUCACAUUAACUGUUGCAUGUUGAUGUCAUUCUCAUGUUUAACCCCAUCUGUUGCAUGUUUGACCCCAUAUGUUCCAUGUGACCCUCUUACAUGUAAAUUUCAUGUUGCAUGUUUGACCUCAUUUGUUGCAUGUUGCAUGUUUCACAUGGAUUGUUGCAUAUCUUGAAUAAAACCAAAAAAUGAAAAUUGUUCCAUCUGUUUCAUGUUUCAUGUUCGUGUUGCAUGUUUUACUUCCGUCGUUGCAUCUUUCAAGUGAAUUUUUGCAUGUUGAUGUGGUUCUCAUGUUUAACCUCAUCUAUUGCAUGUUUGACAUCAGAUAUUGCAUAUUUUACAUGACCUUUUUAAAUAUAAAUUUCAUGUUAUAUGUUUGACCUCACUUGUUGCAUGUUUCACUUGAAUUGUUCCAUAUCUUGAAUAAAGAGAAAAAUUGAAAAUGGGUGAGGAAGACAAAGUAACAGUGCAUAUAAUCACGAAGUUGGCUAGCCAACUUAUUUAACAAUUAAUGUAGCGGUUAACCACUUCCACUCCAGAGACACCCAACAAUGAAACAGUUAGCCAAUUGAUAUAACGUAGAAUUAAGCGGUUUAUCGCUUCCACUUCGGAAACACUCAAUAAUUAAGUGGUUAGUCAACUAAUUUAACAAGGAAUCAAGUGGUUAACUACUUGCGUUCAAGAAAAUAGCUAACAAUGAAACAGUUAGCCAAAUUGUUAAGCAAAGAAUUAAGCAGUUAGCUGCUUCCACUCCAAAAACAACUAAGUAUGAAACACUUACUCAACUUAUUUCACAACAAAUGAAGCGGUUAGCUAGUACAACGAAUGUUUGACGUUGAUAUUUCAUGUAUCACAUUGUCUAACACAUGUAUAUAUAUCAUGUUGCAUUUCAAAAUUUCUUGACAUUUCAAGUGAUAAUUUAUAAUCAAAAUUAUUUGUUUCAUCUUCUUUUUUAUUAUUAAUUAAGUUUAAUUAAGCCCCAUCUAUUAAGAAAAAAAAAUGAAAAUGUUGCCUAGUGUUAAAAUUAUUUGAUAAUUCAAGUGAUCAUUAUUACUCCAAGUAAUAAUUUAUCAUUUUAGUUAUUAUUUGUUUCAUUAUUUUGUAAUUUGUUUAAUUCUUCAAACGAAAAUAACUAUGAUGACAAUUUUAAAUUACCAAAUAACCUUCUUUUUUUUAGUGCAAUUGGUAAUUUGUAAAUUUUUUAUUUUAAAAAUCAAAUAAUACAUACAACACAUUAAUUAUUUUGGAUUAAUUUCAUCAGAGCUUGUAAAUGAAACCCAUAAACAAAGGCAUCUCAAACUUUGUAAUUACAAAAAAAAAAAAAAAAAAAAGCGUAAAGAAGAGAGUUGGCGGGUGCACGCCAUGCGCGAAUUAAUUUUCACCAUCAUCUUCCACCAUAUGUCGUGAGCAGUGGAGGCUUUCCCUCCCCAUUACCAUUACAAAAAAAGUGUCGAAAAAGGUGUCGACCUGUGUCACACCCCCAUCCAAGAAGUGAGCUAAAAAUUAUGAAACUCCAAAGCACUGUCUGAGCAUAGCACACAAACUACUUCCAGCAUCUCCAUUAACAAAAUAUUUGAAAAAAGCAAGGCAUGAGCUAUUAGCCCAUACACUUUUAAGCAUAAUGAUUCUAAUCACAUCUCAUUUAACCACGAGGCCAUGAAAACAUACUCAAAGAUUCCAAAAGAAAAUUGACAUUUAAACACAUAAGAAUCAAUCUUAUGAAUCCAUCAAUUUUGCAAUCAAGCGAAAAAAAUGUCAAUCUCUGAUCUAUAAGACCAAACUUCAAAGUCUAUAAUUUCAAUGAUCAAAUAACAAAUGAUGUACAAAUAAAAUUCAUGGAAAUCUAUAGAAACCUUUGGCAUUAUUUUAGACCAUGUAAUAAGUACAGGCCUUGUUCAAUAAUCCCUUUAAAUUAUUGGGUUGGUUCAAUUACCAUACAAAUUGGCAGAUAUAAUCUAGACAUGUAAAGCACCUAGAAUAUAACAUCUUAGCUCAAAUUUAGUUACAUUUAUUACUAUUUCUAUGACCCAAUACAGAGUUACAGAAAACUGGUUUAUUGGCAGGAAACACCAACAACCUAAGCUUCUGAUUUUCUUUAAAAAUUCAAUACUAUUCAGAAUAUUGUGAAAACUUCCAAAAUAUUAUUAGACACAACAUAUAAAAUUUUCAAGCCAUUUGGACAACUCCAUAAUUGGUUCUCACAGGAUUGAACUAAACAAAUCAAAACUGCCUUUUUAAUUCACACAAAAACAGCUGAGCUUUGGUGAUUUAUUAAAAUUAAAAUACUCAAUAUGUUGGGAUGAAAAUUCCCAGAACAUAAUUACACAUAUAACUUGAUAACAUAUUAAAAGUUCAAGACAUUCUGAUAUCAUUAAGCUAAUGUUUCAUAAGAUCAAACACAAGUGAAUAGUUCUGUCAAGGGGUUUACGGCUAAAGUGGUGGAGUUUGAAAAAUCAUAAAAAACAAAAGAGAACCAGAUGUUCAAUUACCAAGGAACUUUCAACAUUUAAAAUACAUUUAAAAUAGACUUAUCGAAGUUUAAUAUCUCAAAAUUUUAGCUCUUGUUGACACCAAUAGAUUAUUCGUUUAUAACACCAAACAUGGUACAUACACAGUUUUUGAUAAAUUCCAACAGCAACUGACCAAUUUGACAAAUCCAUUAAAAAUCAACUAUUAGUUCAAUUCAUUCCAAAAUGUCCAGACUUGAAAUAUACAAUCCGGCUUUUAUUACUCAAAAUUUGAAGCGAAUCUAGCAUCAUUUAAUCAUAUUUUGAAACAAUCAAAGUUCUGAUAACAGUCCAACAAUCUUUAAAUUUUCUGCAAAAUCAAUAAACUAUUUUUUAUCUUUUCAGUUCAAUAAUCAAUUUUCUAUCAAAAUUAGACAUGCAAAACCAACAACAACCUUACUUUUCAGUUUUGAGAUAACAAAACAUCAAUUGCACCAAGUUAACUACCUAAAUCACAAGCUUUAACUUCCUGGCCUCUUAAUAAAGCUUUCUGUCACCUUCGCAAGUAUUAACUUCAGUCCUCACAUUACCAAAAAGCCUACCCAAAAAAAAAAAAAAUGAUAAUCAAUCACACUUCCAUUAAACAAAGUCAUAAGAGCUUAUUUAAAAAUUGAGGCGUUUCACCUCUUAACGAAUAGCUCAACUCCAAACUUCCAAUCUAUAGCACUACAUAAUUGAAACAUACCACCACCGAUCAACAAAUAACCCAAAAAAUUGCUAAGACUUUCAAUUAAAAAUAAAAGCUGGUGAUUAUAUAGCAUCAAUAUAUAGAAUUAAAUCAUCAAGCAACAGUAUAUGAUGGUGAGUCUCUAGAAACAUCAAUAAAAAUUUCUAAAAAAAGGGCAAAAAACAGCUUAAAAAUGACAUAAUGAAUAUCAACACAUAUAAAAUAAGAUUGGUCAAAAAAAUAAAAAUAAAAGAAAAAAAGCUGAAUGGGGAAAUCUUUACCAAAUUAGUGAGCACCCAUCUUUAGGAUUCCGAACAAUGAUUGCAGAUCUCAAAACAAGCAAACAACACCAAAAACCAAACAAGAAAAAAAAUAGUAUAUCAAGAGAAAAAAAUUAACUUGUUUUGAGGGUUUUCGCUGGUGGCUUCAGGAAGCCCACGCGGCCACGAUUUCGGCCAAAGCUAGGAUGACGGCAGUGAAGGUUGAAGAACUGAUGGUAUAGUCAAUGGUGCGACAGAAAUAAUGGUGGGCGGUUGGAAACGCAGCAACAGACGUGAUACCAACUUUGCCUCUCCCUAGCUCUCGUAUACAAACCAAAUACUAGGGUAGAUGACUCCGAUUGGUUGAUUAGUGUGAGAGAGAAAAUGGAUUUGAUUUUAGGUAAUGAGCAAAGAAAUCAGAUGAUAGAAAUUAUGGAUUUCAAAGAGGGAAGAAAUUUAGGGAUUCCCCUUUUAAGAAAGCGAAGAAAUCAGAUUGGCGAGAGUGGGGCCGGGGCGGUUAAAUGGAUGAGAGAAAUUAUGGAUUUCAAAUGAAUGAGAAAUCUGAUGGUAUAAAAUGUUUAUUAAUAUAUACUUGAGAACCAACAUCUCAAGUUCAAUCGAACGGUUUGAUUUCAAUUUUCAAUAUGGUGUCCGGGCUUAGUGCCCGGCAUUGUAGCUUUAACCCUUAUACAACUGAUAAUAUAUAAGAACUUGUAUUGGUGAAUUUACAGACAUAAUAAAUUAGGUGUAAAAUCUAUAAUGUACUUCUAGUAAACGACAACUUUAUGGAGCAAUAAUCCUAGUUUUCUUUUCUAAUUUUAUGAGCAAGUAAAACUCGUUAUAUUUUGCUUCAUUAAAAAAGAAUAGUAAAUGGCUUGCCUAGCUUUGAGCAAAGUAUUUAGAUCAUUUGAUAUGUAAUAGGUGCCAUUUCUCAAUCUACCAGCUUUGAUAUUGACAAAAUGUAGUACACGCAUAAGCUGAUUAUAGUAAACAAUUUGGCAAGAGUUCUCUAUAGAAAAUUAAUGGGGACAAAUGACCUUAGAAAUUGAAUAAGAUGCUGCAAAUUGACCAAGUGACAAAUCCGUUCCCAUCCGAACCAUAGCUAAUUUAGAAUGAAUAUUUGAAAAUAAGAGAAGGCAGGACACAUGUGGGCACAGCAACCGAGGAAAGCAGACCUAGCGUUGGCAUGAAUUAAAAGUUAGAUAAUACUCUUACACACUAUUUUUGAAGGCAUUCAUGGCAAAGAUUAUAAUUCACUACCAGUGAAAGAAAAGAAAAUCAAUUUGAUUGUCUCAUACGUCUAGCUCUUCAACAUUUUAAAGCAACGAGCAUCUAAAUUUUAAGAAACCCAUUACAAUUUCCUUUGCAUUGAUUCUCUGCUUUGGUGAUUCUACAAUACACUCUAUAGCUAAAUUGAAGACAAAUGACACACGUUACUCUUUGGUCAUAAAAUGUUUGUCUUCCCAAGUUAGUAGAUUUGCAUCAACAACUGUCGUAACUGAAAUGAGUAGUGAAUCACUAACCCAAUACUUUAAUCUCAUUUUCUCCUGAAAAAAUUUCAUCUGUGAGUUCAGUGUAAUAUAUGUUCUUUUCUAAUUUUAUGCGCAACUAAGAAUAUCAUUUUAAAAGGAAUUGUAAAUAGUUUCCCUAGUUUGAGCAAAGUAUUUAGGUCAUCUGACAUAUAAUAAGGUCCAUUUCUCAAUCUACCAGCUUUGGUUUUCAUGAAAUGCGAUGUAUGCAUAAACUGAUGGGUAUAUAACUAAAUGCACUGAAAUUUUCAAUCCUUCUAAAUCCUACAAAAUAUUCAUAGUUUUUCACACAUGAAGCAAAAGAACAAUAAUUAAAUCACACUGACCUGAUUAUAACAAAUGAAAGUCUAGAUUUUCCCUAUAGAAAAAAUAUAAAUAUAAUUAAACCUAAACAAAUGGUAUAAAUCUCUAAGGAAAAUUAAAGGGACUCAAAUUGCACAAUAACAAAUCACCUUAGAAGUUGAAUAAGAUGCAGCAAACUGACCAAGUGUCAAAUCUGUUCCCUUCCGAAUCAUAGAUAAUUUGGAAUGAAGGAAUAUUUAAAAGUGAGAGAAGGUAGGAUACAAGCGGGCACAGCAACCAAGGAAAGCAGACCUAGCAUUGGCACAAAUUAAAAGUUAGACAAUACCCAUACACACAAUUAUUGGAGCUAUUCAUUGCAAAGAUUAUAAAUCAUUACCAGUGAAAGAAAAGAAAAUCAAUUUGAGUGUCACAUGCGUCUACCCUCAACAUUUUUAAGCAAUGAAUCUCUAAUUUGUAAGAGUCUUCUUACAAUUUCUUUUACAUUGAUUCUCUCCCAUGGUGAUUCUACUGUACACUUCAUAGCUAAAUUGAAGACAAAUGACACACAUUGUUCUUUAGUCAUAAAAUGUUUGUCCUCCUGACUUAAUAGAUUUGCAUCAACAACUUCCAUAACUGAAAUGGGUAGCAAGUCAUUAACCCAACGCUUUAAUGUCAUUUCUCCAGAAAAAAUUUCAUCUGUGGGUUUCUUCCGGGUAAAUGUUUCUAUUAACAUAAUUCCAAAGCUGUAAACAUCCCCAUUUGUAGAUACUCUUCCUUCUCUUCCGUACUCUAUGAAUUGCAACAGUUACAUAGUAAGAUAAUAUAAUUCAUAAUAGUAUGCGCAAAUGAAGAUCCAAAUAAAUAGAAAACAUAUCAGAAAGUAUUAAGGAAAUAAAAAAUAUUUAUUAUGUAACGAACCUGGUGCCAUAUAGCCUAUGGUGGCAAGUGUUUGUGUCUGAGUCAAAGAUUGAUCUUCUUUGAGUAAGGGCUUUGCCAUGCCAAAAUCACUCAAAUGAGCAACCAUAUUAUCAUCUAACAAUACAUUGCUGGGCUUUAAGUCACAGUGAAUUAUUGGGACUGAAUAACCAAAGUGCAGAUAUUCCAAAGCUGAUGCAACAUCUAUCAUUAUGUUCAAUCUUUGAAAAAUAUCCAAAAUGUUGGUGCUCGAAUACAAACACUUCUCCAGACUUCCAUGAGGCAUGUAUUCUAAUACCAACGCUUUAAAAUCAUCAUUUGAACAACUGCUAAUGAUUUUUAUAAGAUUUCGAUGGCGAAUACGUUUCAUCAUGUCACAUUCAAUAUCAAAACUCUUAAAUGCUUCUUUAUAUUGUAGGUUAAAAACCUUCACUGCAACCUCCGUCCCAUCCUGAAUUCUUGCCUUGUAAACAGAGCCAAUACCUCCUCUACCGAUUAGAUUGUUUGCACUAAAUUCGUUUGUAGCUUGAAAAAGUUCUAGGUAUGUAAACCUUCUCUGAUUUGCUACUGGUGGCAGAUUAGCAUCAUUUGGCAGUGACUUCCCUCUCUUUCGAUAUCUUAAGAUCAACAAAAUCACUACUAUCAUAAAUAUAGUACUCAAUGGCAAGACGAUCCCUAUGAGAAUAUCAUUCUUCCUUGAUUUGUGGUGGAUUCUAGUUCUGCAUGGUGGGACUUGCAGUUUGGGCAUACCACACAAUAAUUCAUUUCCCUUGAAUGAUUUCGCUGAGAAAUUUUUGAAAGGUCCCGCUCUAGGAAUCUCUCCUUCUAGCUUAUUGAAAGAAACAUUUAUAUAUUGGAGAUCUAAAAGUUUCUCUAAAGAUGUAGGAAUAGCUCCAGAGAGAUUAUUAUUGGAUAAAUCUAAGGAUUUCAAGUUUAUCAAACCACCAAUGGAAUCAGGAAUUAAGCCUUGUAAUCUAUUACAUUCUAAAAAGAGAUUUUGUAGAUCUUUUAGGCCUCCAAUUGUUGUUGGGAUAGCACCUGAAAAAUUAUUCAUCGACAAAUCUAUUUGUACCAAAACCUUCAAAUUUCCAAUCCCUAGUGGGAGUGAGCCAGUAAAAGAAUUUGAAGACAAGUUAAGGUACAAUAUGUACUUAAUGUUCCAUAAAGUUGAAGAAGUAGAAGUUAAUUGAUUGGAGCCCAAAUUGAGUUUCUUUAGAUAGGUGAGAUUGCCAAAGCAUGCAGGGAUGAACCCAGAAAGCAUAUUACCGCCCAAGUCCAACUGAAAUAGUGCAGCUAAACGACAAAGAUCAUUUGGGAUUGAUCCUUCCAAUUGAUUAUCUUCAAAACUCAAUAAUUGAAGCUUUUGUAAUUUACCGAGAGUAAUCGGAAUUGUUCCAUUUAAUUUGUUUCCACCUAAAUAAAUUGCUAUCAAGUUGGUCAAGUUGCUGAUCUCUUCAGGAAUGCCGCCACUAAUGUUGCAACUAACUAUCCAAAACUCUUCAAUAGAUUGAGAAAGAUUGCCUAUAGCCCUUGGAAGAAUGCCAUCUAGUAGAUUAUUAGACAAGCUAAAAUACUUUAAAUACUUGCAAUUUGACAACGAGGAUAGAAAGCUCAAUUCUGGAGUCGAAGAUGUCAAAUAGUUAUCAUUUAAUCCAAGCCACUUAAGGUUUCUUAAGUUGACAAAUGUGUUUGGAAUGAAACCGGAGAAGGAGUUUAUUUCCAACUCUAGUCCGGAGAGCUUAGAAGCAUUGAAAAUGAAAUUAGGAAUUGUGCCAUUAAAAUUAUUACCCCACAAGUGAAGCUCUUCAAGAUUUGGAAGUCGAACUUCUGCGCUUGAUGGAAGUCUUCCCGAGAGUGAGUUACUCUGAAGAUGAAGUGAUUUGAGUGUUGACACAUUGAAGAUUGUAGUUGGGACAACACCAACUAAUUUGUUAAAACUAAACGCCAUCCAUUCUAGAUUAUGGAGAUUACCGAUUUCAUGUGGUAUCUCACCUGUAUUUUGAAACAAAAAAUAAUUCAAAUUUAUUUUUAAUAAUAAAUUAUACACUUUUAUAUCAUGAAAUGAGUAUUUGUAAUUAAAAUUAGUAAAUAUGAGUUUAAGAUUAAUUAUUAUACAUAGAUAAAAUGUUAAUAAAUCAUUAAAUUUUAUUCUUAUUAAUUAAAUAUAAAUAUUAAUAAUUUCAGUAUUCAUGUCAUUAUUAAAUUAAAAAAAAACUACUCAUCUUAAUAUUAAUUUGAAUUACUAAUAUAAUAUUUGUAUGAACAUAAGAAUUUUUUUCAAACUAAAUUUUUACUUUAUUUUUCUAGGUGCUACUACAGUGAAUAUAUGAAUUGAUAUCAUGGUGGAAGAAUAUUGAUUUCAUGAUUUAAAAAACAAUUAAUCUAUUUUAGACUUUCCUUUACAAAAUAAAAACACUUUUUUUAUGCCUAAAUAAACGUCUGAACUUAACUGCCAUUAUCACAAACUGUUGCUUGUUUUUUACUUCUUCUUCCCUACUACUUAUUGUAUCACUAACUUUUGAACUUUUUGUAUAAACAUAAGCAAAGAAGAAACAUUGCCAAUUAAUUCUUAAUUCUUUUACAAACUUACGUCAUGGAAUUAGAUUAAAAUUGGAUGCGCUACUGUCAUGGUAUUCUGCAAUAACAACUGACAGAUGAAGUAGACAACAUCAAUUGAACACCAUUUCUAUUUGCAAUCUCUAAAAUUAAUUUAACUUUUCACACUUAUAGAUAUUUUCAAUCUUUCUAAUUCUCCAUCUGAUUUUGGACCCUAGAAAGACAAUUAAAAAAAAGAACAAAAAAAGAAAGUAAAGAAAAACAUAUAAUCUGCUUGAUAGAUUAUCAAAAUUUGUCGAGUGAUCACAAAAUAAAAGAAAAUGCAAUAGAAAGAGAAAGAGAAAAACUAACAAAGUGAAAGAAAUAGAAGGUUUAUGUUUGUUAGACGUUCGUUAAUCUUAGAGCCGUUAAGUCUUAGAUUUUUAAUUAGGCAAUGAAACGAUGUAUUUUAGUUUUAAUAAGGAAAGUCUAAAAUAAUUUAAAUCAUAGACUCACUAAAAUGCUUAAACAAAAUUGAUUUUCGAGCAAAUAAACACCUGCUAUUCUAGGAACAAGCGCACAGUGGUCCAGGUAAAAUACUCGGAGUGAUAACUAAAAAUAUGACAUAAAUAUAAAUCACACAUACCUUGGAGUCUGUUUUGGUAAAGAGAUAAAUACUUAAGCUUGGUCAAAUUGCCGAUUUCUUUUGGUAUGUCUCCCGAGAAGUCAUUGACCGACAAAUAUAAUUUUUGUAGAAGCUUGCACCUUGAUAAAGUCGAUGGGAUUUUGCCGUCAAAGCUGUUUUCGCUUAGAAAGAGGAUUUCCAGAAAAGGAAGGUUGUUGCAAAUAUUUGCCGGGAGUUCACCUGGGAGUUCACCAAAUAAUAUAUUAUAUUCAUUAUUCAAAACGAAUAUUAUCUAGUUAAGAAAACUUGCACAACAUGGAGGAAGGGAUUGGACCGGAGAGCUGGUUAUAGCUAAGAUAAAGUAUUUGAAGUGAAGAUGGAUUCCCAAGUUGAGAAGGAAUGAUGCCUGUUAAGAAAUACUUUGUUAGCGAUGGCAUCUCCAAUUAUAUAAAGAUAAGUAGAGAUUUCAUGGCAAAUAUUUUAUGCUAAUGUCAUAAAUGCAUAUUAUUAGCAAAGACUACCUGUCAAGUUAUUAACUGACAAAUCCAAAUUCGAUAGAGAAGAAAGAUUGAAGAUUGAUGAAGGAAUGGUUCCAGUUAAGAAAUUUUUUUGUAGCCAUAACUCCUCUAAAUCUGCAAGAUUCCCGAGCUCCUCUGGAAUUUCUCCUAAAAUCCAAGAGUAACAUAUGCGUUAACUAUUUUAACUUAUUAACCGGCACUCAAGAAGAAAAAAAGGAACUAAAAAAUGUUUUUGCCUGAAAAGAAAUUAAAAAAAGAACAAUUUAUCAAAACAUAAAUAAAUAAAGUUUUUGUCAAAUGACGAGACAAGCCGAACCAAACAUGCUCUAAGGCUAGGAUUUAAUCUAGUUUAGACUUUCCUUUCCAAAAUCAAAACGCUUGCUUUCAUGCCUAAAUAAACGUCUGAACUUAACCGCCAUUAUCACAAAUUGUUGCUUGUUUCUGACUUCUUCUUCUCUACUACUUAUUAUAUCACUAACUUUUAAACUUUUGCCAUAAACUUGAGCAAAGAAGAAACAUUGCAAAUUAAUUCUUAAUUCUUUUACGAAUUUAUGUCUUGGAAUUAGAUUAAAACUGGAUGUGUUAUUGUCAUUGGUAUUCUGCAAUAACAAUUGACAGAUGAAGUAGACAAUAUCAAUUGAACACAAUUUCUAUUUGCAAUCUCUGAAAAUAAUUUAACUUUUCACAUUUAUAUAUAUUGUUCCAUCUUUCAAAUUCUCCAUCUGAUUUUGGACCCUAGAAAGACAAUUAAAAAAAAGAACAAAAAAAGAAAGUAAAGAAAAACAUCUAAUCUGCUUGAUAGAUUAUCAAUAGUUGUUGAGUGAUCACAAAAUAGAAGAAAAUGCAAUAGAAAAGAGAAAGAGAAAAACUAACAAAGUAAAAGAAAUAGAAGGUUUGUGCUUGUUAGACGUUCGUUAAUUUUAGAGCCGUUAGUCUUAGAUUUUUAAUUAGGCAAUGAAACGAUGUGUUUUAAUUUUAAUAUGGAAAGUAAAAAAUAAUUAAAUCAUAGACUUAGAAAGGCAUAAACAACACGUGUCAUGAUCUUAUAAAAAAUUUAAGAAUGAUUAGAAUAGGAGAGGAUUGAAAUCCCUUUAUCUAUUAUAAUUCUCUGCUUAAAUACUAACAAAGAGGUUCAAAGUUACUGUCAACAUUUAUUAUAAGGUUUCCAAUUAAAAUGCUUAAACAAAAUUGAUUUUCAAGCAAAUAAACACCUGCUAUUCUAGGAACGAGCGCACGGUGGUUGAGGUAAGACAUUCAGAGUGAGAACUAAAAAAAUGACAUAAAUAUAAAUCAUACAUACCUUGGAGUUUGUUUUGGUCAAGAUAUAAAUACUUAAGCUUGGUCAAAUUGCCGAUUUCUUUUGGUAUGGCUCCCGAGAAGUCAUUGAUCGACAAAGAUAAUGUUUGUAGAUGUUUGCACCUUGAUAAAGUCGAUGGGAUUUUGCUCCCAAAGUAGUUUUUGUCUAGAAAGAGGAUUUCCAAAAAAGGAAGGUUGUUGCAAAUAUUUGCGGGGAGUUCACCUGGGAGUUCACCAAAUAAUAUAUUAUAUUGGAAAUGAAUAUUUUCUAGAAAAAAAGACUUAAAUAAGAUAAAGGAAGGGAUUGGACCGGAGAGCUGGUUAUAGCUAAGAUAAAGUUUUUGAAGUGAAGAUGGUUUCCCAAGUUGAGAAGGAAUGAUGCCUCUUAAGAAAUCAUUUGUUAGCGAUGGCAUCACCAACUAUAUAAAGAUAAACAGUGAUUUCAUCUCAAAUAUUUUAUGUUGAUGUCACAAAUGCAUAUUAUUAGCAAAGACUACCUGACAAGUUAUUAUAUGACAACUUCAAACUCGAUAGAGAAGAAAGAUUGAAGAUUGAUAUUCAAGAUAUUCUAACUUAUAAGAUUGAGCAUCACUGAUUAAGGUAAAAUAUCACACGAGUGGGUAUACCAUAAACUAUAAUAAGACGCACCUCGGAGUCUGUUAAACUGAAGAUCUAACUUUUCAAGCUUGGUCAAGUUACCGAUUUCCUUUGGAAUGGCUCCAGAGAAAUUAUUGAACUGCAAAACUAAGAUUCGCAAAUAGCUGCAAUUUGCUAGAUCGGAGGGUAUUUCGCCAUAAAACAUAUUUUUGGACAAAUAAAGUUCUUCCAGAAAAGGAAAAUUGUUGCAAAAAUUUGCAGGGAGUUCACCAGAUAGUCCAUUGACACUCAAAUCAAGAACUUGUAGACGAGGCAUUUUGAAUUUGAAAGAGGGAAAAGAACCAGAGAGUUGGUUAUCACUGAGAUCAAGCCAUUGCAGCUGAAAUAGAUUUCCAGCGUAAGGAAUGGUGCCUGUUUAAGAAAUUGUUUAUUAAUAGACUAUCUGCUAUAACAUAAUUUACAAAAUUUUGCAUAAUCUCAUAGAUUUCUAACAAUUAACAAGAUAAUGCUAAAUAGUGGACAUGACAUGACAUGUCCCCAUAAGAGAAUUUAUAAUAGGAGAUGUAAAAUUACAAAGAAGACACAUGUGCAUGUCGUUAGGGAAGUUACCUGUCAAGUUAUUAACUGACAAAUCCAAGAUCGAUAGAGAAGAAAGAUUGAAGAUUGAUGAAGGAAUGGUUCCAGUUAAGAAAUUAUUUUGUAGCCAUAACUCCUCUAAUUCUGCAAGAUUCCCGAGCUCCUCUGGAAUUUCUCCUAAAAAUCAUGAGUAACAUAUGCGUUAACUGUUUUAACUUAUUAACUGGUACUCAAAAAGAAAAAAAAGGAACUAAAAAAAAGUUUUUGCCUGAAGAGAGAUAAAAAACAAUUUACUCAAUAGAAUUAAAUAAUUAUAGGCUGACAGGAUUAAUAAAAGUGAGACAUUAUUAAUUUUCUUCAAUGAAUUAAACUCAUUGAUCAUACCUUGGAGUUGGUUCCCUCGAAGAUAUAACCCGAUAAGCUUUGUCACGUUGCCAAUUUCUUUUGGUAUGGUCCCAGAAAAAUCAUUAAGCGAUAAAGAUAUGUUUCGCAGCCGUUUGCAGUUUGAUAAAGUGAGUGGUAUCUUGCCAUGAAACAUGUUACUUUUAAGAAAUAGGGAUUCCAAAUUGGAAAGGUGAUUGCAAAAAUUUGGUGGGAGUUCGCCAAAUAGUGUAUUGUUUGUAAAACGAAUAGAAAGUAAAGAAGACAUGUUGAAGAUAGAGGCGGGAAUGGAACCCGAAAACCAAUUAAAACUGAGAUCAAGUGUUUGAAGAGACGAGAGAUUCCCAAGUUCAGAAGGGAUAGUGCCUGUGAGAUUUAACCCAGAUAUAUUCAAGGCUGUGACUCUAUGAGUACGGACAUCACAAGUGACGCCCGUCCAAUUACAGACAGAGCUACUUGUGUUCCAAUUUCUAGCCAAGAAAUUGGCUGGAUCCUCAGUUACAUGACCUUUCAGGGAAAGAAGGGCUUGUUGGUCUGUGGUAAUACUUGUAGUGUUGGCUGAUGCAAUCAUGAAGGAAAGAAUCAAGCAAUGGAAUAAGAGAAAUCUGAUCAUCAUCCGGGCAGAAGGAAUUUUUUCCAUGAGACUAGAAUAUUUAGAUUGUAAGUGUGUGCUUAAUUGGAUUGAUAAUGCAAGAACGCUCAUAGCUGCUUCCAAGUAUAUAUAAUGAAACCGAAAUUUCGAAGAAGCAGCAAGAAAAAAAAUAGAGGAGUGAAAAGACUAUACUCAUAACUUGUCGAAAGGUGCAAAAUUUUAUGUGGACCUGCUGCGUCAAGCCAAUCCUUCAGGUCGACACUCAGGAACACUAGAUAUUUCAUAAUCGUAAAUCGUAAUUAGUGAUUGUGGUGAGUUUUGUUUCCCUUUAUAAUCAUCCUAUUAAAUUAUUUCCUAUGAUUAGACUUCUAACCUCAUAACUUUUAUACAAAUUCCUAAUGAUGAAUUUCGUAAUCUCGUGAGUUUGGAGCAAAUAUGGUUAAAGGAUAUAAUAUUAAGUUUUAAUAUUUGCAGAUCCAAGAAAAGAUUAUUACUUUACUUAAAUAGAUAAAUUUACAAAGUUAAAUUCUUACAUUAUGUAGGAAGAGGAGUGGUUUUUUUAUUUUAAAAAAUCCUUUUUAAAUGUGAUUUCGAUAGUUUUAUCGCAAAAUAGUUCUACUCACUAAAAACAAAAAUUCUUCUCCAUAUUAGAGUAACUGGACAUAUAAUGCUCCUAGAAACUCAAAUUUUUAGAUAAGUUAAAAUUUAUAUUUCUAUAUUUUUUUUUCUGAAUUUGAGAUAAUUUACUAUUCGUGAAAAAAAUUAUACAAACCGGUGAUGUCACUCUCAUCAAAAUAUUGGUCGUCUGGUAAAAAUGUUCUUCGCGGGUCCACUCAGAAUCACUAGAUAUUUUCCUCUCUUCUUAUUAUGUGGAUCCAAUCAAAACUUUCCGCUUUUGGGAUUCAGCCAUUGGAUUUAAUGAAAAAGCUGUUCAAUGGCAAGAGCUUUGUUUAUUAGGUUUUUAAGAUUACCCUGUUAUUUGAUUAAAAAAAACUGUAAAAUAUGGUUUAGUUCUUAUAUUUUAAUUUAAGAGUUUAUUUAAUUUUUAUAUUUUGAAAAAUACUUCUCUUAUUAAAUAUGAGGUUCCAACCUUUAAUAUUUUCUUUUUAAUAAUAAUACCUUACAAUAACAAUCUUGGAGUUAUUAAUGAAAAAGGUUUAUUCAUCAAAUUAGCCUAAAGAAUUAAAAAUUAAUGUAAAUUUUUAUGCUAUUAUUUUAAAUUUUUAUAUACAAUUAUUAGUAAGAUUAUUGCAAUGAUAUUAAAUAUUACUUUCAGUUAGUUGAUAUUAAUUUUUUUAAAAUAUUUAUUUGUCAAAUUCUAGUUAAAGUACAAUAAAAUACUAUUUCUUUCAUACUGAUAUUUAUUGAUUAAUUUGGUAAUUAAUAAUUAGUUAACUUGCUAUUAAAUUUUUUUAGAUAAAUUAAUUAAUAUUAAGAAUAUUGUUGAUAGGGUAGCAUUAUAAAGGUAAAGAAAAAGUAAAGAUAAUAAUAUAAUAUAUUUAAUACUAAUAGUAUAUUGAAGUACUUUUUAAAAUAUAAGAAUUAAAUGAGUAUUUAAAUCAAAAUACAAAAAGUAAACAAGCAUUUACUUGAUAAAAAAUCACAAAAGUUGAAUGUUUCAAAAUCUUGACACCCAAGACUUAUCUAUUAAAAGAGGUCAUGAGAAUUAAAACUUAGAUGAAACAAUGCCGUAACGUUAUCACAGAGACGUGCUGAGAUUUUCCUAUUUUUAAAUUUAAAUUUGACACGCAUAAGAGAUAGCGAUGGUGAGAGUGGGACUGCUCACUUGGAAUUUAAAUUUAAUUGCACGGUCCCAUUCUCUCUCUGAUAUUUUUCGCAUUCUCUUUCAUGAAGAAUAAAUUAGCGGCCCAUUGAAUAGUGUUUAUGCGUGCUUUAUGGGUUAUAACAUUUUUGUCGAUCCUUGGAGAAUCCUUGAAAUGAAGACAAUCGGGUAAUGACUAAUUAAGUAUUUAUGAUGAAACCUAAAUUUCUCUCCACGUGAAAGAGAAAAAUCAGAAAAUAGAGGAGAGAAAUUAAAGCGAGAAAAGAUUCCUCUCCACGUGACAACAAACGUUGAAAUGUUUUUGCUCUUCGUUUGAUGCUUCGAGGAUUCACAGGUGCCGAUAAGUCCAACAAAAUUCCGCGGCUUGAAUAGUAUUUGUUAGUGGCACUCGUUUCUGAUCUUUUAACUUGAAUUAAAUUUUGUCGAUCUCGCUGCAAAAAUGAUCUUCCAAGAUGAAGAAAUCAGUGGCCCAUCCGUUAAUUGUGCGUGAUUUAUGGGUUAUAACAUUUUUGUCAAUAGUCAACCCAACUCAGAAAUUACGUGUUGCGAAGUCAAUGAAAGAGAAGACAGAAGUCAGUGAAAGCAAAGACAGCAAGACAUUGACUAAUCAUAAUAUGGUGGGACACUUAAGUAUCAUUUGGGAUUAAAGUAGAAAUUUAAUAAAUUUCUUAUUUCAUAAUUCUUUAUAAAAAUAAUAUUUAAUAAAUUUUGUAAAAAUUAUUUAUUUCAUAAUUUUUUUGUAUUUUACUACAGUUUUUAAAAACAAGUUGAGAUUUACUUUUCAAAAGUAACUUAAAAUAAGCCACCACAAUUUUUCAAAGUUUAUGUUAUAACAUUAAUAAUUUAACAAAAAAGAUAAUUAUGUUUUAUUUUUUCAUACACUUUAAUACAUAAGUUAUUAGUAUCAUAGUACCACCACAAUUUACUAUCGCAACUAAUUUGAGUUUUCUCCAGUAUCAAAAUUUUGAUUUAGUAAGUUCAUAUUUUUUUAUAUUUUAAUAUUAUUUUCUAUUAUAAAACUAAUGAGACUUAUACAUGAUUACACAAAUUUUUUUAAACAAUGAACAAGUUCAUGUGAAAUUUAAACAUAAGUCUUAAAAUCAAAUUCAUGACUAUAAUUUUUAACGUUCAAUCUAUUUAUAUUUUUUCUAUAGUCACGGUAUUCAUUGCAACAAGUUGAUUCUCUGCUUUUAAGAGUCUUGUUACAAUUUCCUUUGCAUUGAUUCUCUGCUUUGGUGAUUCCACAGUAACGCUCUAUAGCGAAAUUGAAGACAAAUGACAUGAACUUAGCAAUUUUGCACCAACAACUUCCAUAAUUGAAUUGGGUAGCAUAUCAUUAAUCCAAUGCUUUAAUGUCAUUUUUCCAUGAAAAAUUUCAUAUGUGGGUUUCUUCCCAAUGAAUGUUUCCAUUAUCAUUAUCCCAAAACUCUAAACAUCCCCAUUUGUGGAUGCCUAUCCUUCUCUUCCAUACUCUAUGGAUUUCAACAAUUACAUGGUAAAAUAAAAUAAUUAACAAUAACAUGCUCAAAUGAAGAUCGUAAAAAUAAAUAACAUAUCAUAAACUAUUAAAGAAAUAAAAAAUUUAAUGUAGAACAAACUCGGUGGUGGCAAGUGUUUGUGUUUGAGUCAAUGAUUGAUCUUCUCUGAGUAAGAGCUUUGCCAUGCCAAAAUCACUCAAAUGAGCAACCAUAUUAUUGUCUAGCAAAACAUUACUCGACUUUAAAUCACAAUGUAUUAUAGGUGCUGAAUGACCAAAGUAUAGGUAUACCACAACUGAUGCAACAUCUAUCAUUAUGUUUAAUCUUUGAAAAAUAUCCAAAAUGUAGUUGCUUGUAUACAAACACUUACCCAGAUUUCCAUGAGGCAUGUAUUCUAAUACCAAUGCCUUAAAAUCAUCAUUUGAACAACUUCUAAUGAUUUUGAUAAGGUUUUGAUGGUGAAUACUUUUCAUCAUAUUGCAUUCAACAUUAAGAUUCUUAAAUGCUCCUCCAUAUUGCAAGUUAAAAACCUUCACUACAACCUCCAUCCCAUCUUGAAUUCGUGUCUUGUAAAUAGAGUCAAAACCUCCUCUGCCGAUUAGAUUGUUUUAAUUAAAUCCAUUGUAUUAUUGAAUCCAUUUAUUGCCUUAAGGCUGUAUAUAUGUAUAUUUUUUAACUUUGCUUUGAACUCAUCUCGUGCCAUUGAGAUUUUGACUUUCUUCUGUUUAUUGCUACCAUUUUGAAAUUAAACAAUUGAUUCAAUUGAUCAACUUAUUAAUAAUCGAUCAACUUAAUUUUAUUUAAUUGAUCAACCUAGUUUUCUUUCAUUAACGUUUUAUAGCAUGAUUCAUUCGUGAUAUAUAUUUACAACAUUUUUUUUAUGUUUCCUUUGCUUCAAUUCACUCAUAAUAAAUCUUAAAAUCAUUAUCAACCAUCGUGAUUUAACUAUAAUAGUCUGAAAACAAUUUGAAAAAAAAUAUAACUCUAUGGAUAAUUCAAUUUUAAGGGUAUUAUCAGACAAAUCAUUGCACUAACAAUUUUGAUUGUUUGCUUGCAAAAGUAAAAUAUGCAUUUGUAUAACUGGUUUUGCAAUAAGAAAAAAUGUUAAAAGGUACCCCAAUUUUUUCUUUCAAGUUUCAAGUUAAUUAUAUGGUUGCUAAGUGAAUUAAGAAAGUAACCUCAUUGGCCUCUCUUAUAAUAUGGAUGUCUUUUGAAUUAUCUUAAUUUAGAAUUUAUUGACAUACACUAAUUGAUAAUUAACUUUUUUGUUCUCAUAAGUGAUCUUCUUCUUUAUGCUUCACCAAUGGUGACAACAUUUUAAAUCAAUGAGAUAUUCAUUAUAUUAGCAGAAAUUACGAGGGAUCUCAACGAGAAUAUUAGAAUAACCCCAAAAUAAUAAAAAGGAUGAUUGUGGCUUGAAGACUGGUUCUCGCCACAAGUUGGGCUGGUUUAUGCUCAAUCUACGGCCAUAACAUCCUAGAAAAAGUUGAAUAAAUAAUAUUUUGUGAGUUCUUGAUGGAGCGAGAGUAGCGGAAGCAAAACUGAUUGGGUAAGACAAAGCGGAAGUGGAAUUGAUAGGAUAGAAAACACUAAAUAUCAUUCUAAUACUUGACCAAGCCAACAUGAUUAGGUUACGCUUUAAUCGAAGCAUGAUUAGAUAUCAUUUUAAUCCAAACGACUCAAUAAGAUUUUUAAUAACGUUUAAAGUGAGAUUAUAUAACGUUUUAAUCCAAACAACUCUACAAGAGAUAUUUUGAUAGAUAAUUCCAGAGGAAAUUAUAAAAGAGGAAAUUUUAUUAAAUAAUUGAAUCUGAAGUUGUGAAAAUAAUAACAAGACCUCUAUAUUUAUAAUAGAGUAAACCCAUUUUCCUAAGUUAACUUAAAAAAAGGAAAACUAAAUCGUAAUUAUAAUGGAAAUAAAAUAUACUUUCUCUAAGUUAACUAAAUCUCAUGCCUUAAUUGACUCUAAUAAAAAUAGAAAGUUCUAAAAUAAUAAAAUACCAUAAUUGACUCUAAUUAAAAUAGAAAUCUUAGAAUAAUAAAAUUCUAGAAUCUUAAAAUUUCUAAAAUAACGUCCUACAUUAGUUCUAGUUGAUAUUGUUAAUUUUGCAGAAAAUAUUUUUUAAGAUAUUAAAAUCUUCAUAAAUAUUUUAUAGACCUUUCCUCAUUUAGGCCUUCUCGAAAAGCUAGAACUUACAAUCAAACUUUUGCCCCAUUAUAUAACAUAUGUUAGUAAAAUUCAUUUUUACAAAUGAUAAUUCUAUUCACCCCUUUCUUUAUAUUUUCUAAAAGAUCUAAAAUUUUACUCCCAUACUUACGGAAAAAUUCAAACCUUCCAAUGAUAGGCGAUGGUGAUGAUGAGAGAGAAAGAAAAAUAAAAUAAAAAUAAUUAAUAAUAUAAAAUUUUUUAAUUAUAGUAAUUUUAAAAAUAAACAUUUAAUACCCAUAGCUAAGACAUCCUUGAGUUGGGUUGGGACCCCAGGCAUGGUCAUAGCAGGUAUGAAACCUUUUCAAUUGUUCGGUUCCUUAGUUAGCUCCUCAAACUUCAGAAAGUAUACAUUUCCGAGGAGGUUUCUUCACCUAAAACCAAAUCAACUUAUUUGAGCUCAACAAAAGUUUGUAUCUCCCUCUAAGUAACAUAUAUUUAUAUGGUCUCAACAUACACCUAAUAUUGAAGUUCUUUUCAAAAGCAUCACUUCAUUCAAUGAAAAGCACAUUGGCCAUAGUAUUUGCCGUCUUUUACAAAGCGGGUACCAUCAAGAUCAACCACUACACCACUUUUUAUGCUACUUGAAAGAAGAUUAUAAAUAUUUUAGAGUUCCACAAACUCUAUAAUAUAGAAAUUUAAAUCAGUGCACUACACAUAAAUUUCGUACAGAACGAAGAUUCAAACAUCUCUAUAAACACAAACUCUCAAGAUGUUUUAGAGUUAAACAAAACUACCAUUUCAUGCCUAGAAAAAAUGUAACAAUUUUUCCCACCAGAGUGGUUAAUACUCAAUACGGAUUUGCUUCAAGUCACCGGAGAGGCUUUUAGAGCAAAUGCAACAAUUUUGGGUUCUAAAAUUUUGCUCUUUAAAGCGUUAUUUUGGCUUAGUGUUUCAAUUAUCAAGAAGAGGUACAAAGAUCAAUGGCUCCUACUAUCCUCGUUUUAGCUUAAUAUAUAUCUCUCAUUUUAAUAAAUAUGGUUGUUUCUUAAAAAUUUAAUUAAGAUCAUUGGCUUUGAGUUACUACUAUAGGAUUCCGAAAAUGAUCAGCAGCCUAUUUCUUCUUCAUCUUCAAAAUCACCCAACAAACCAAAGUUUGUUCAAAUUUAAAUGUCCCUGCUAUAUUAGUACUAACGUUUGUCUUAAAAUUUUGCUCGAUUAAUCCUUGACUUCAAAAGGAACAACGAUCUUUUCCUAUUCAUAGUUCCUUUUUUUUUUAACUCAUAUUUUAAUGAGUGGGUAAAAUUGAGUUUUAAAUUUUAAUGUUGAUAAUCAAGCCAGCUUUUUUUUUUAUUUACGAUUAAGCCAACUUUUUUUAAUUAGAUUUGAAAAAUUAGGAGAGUUUAGGAUAGAAAAAAAAAUUAAGAGAGAAUCCUAAUCUGUAAUACCCCACACCCGAUUAUUUUUGACCCUUCACCUAUAUAAAUUGAGCGCGAUUAAACGCUCGGAUAGUCGGAUUUUUUUUUUCGUCACGGGUCCGGUAUUAGCUUAAUUUGUAUUAAGCUUAAGUGGGAAAAAAAAAAAAGAAGAAAGAAGAGGAAGAAAAAGUCGGGUUUUAUAUAUGGAAAAAGGGGGGAAACUGUUUUUGAAGAGAAAUGAGAGAGAGAAGGCACGAGAGAGAGAGAGAGAGAAAGAGUUUGACCCGACAUUGACCCGGAUCCGACCGGAAACCCGCGACCUUGACACGAUUGUAUCUCCCGAUUCCGGCCACCUCACCGGCCGAGCUUGGUAUCGAUCUGAAGCUUGGAAGCCGACCGUUAUAUCCCAGCUGUCCUCGUCGCCGGAAACCGACCAGAACGCCGGCGAUUUGAGCUCGAAAACUCGCGGCCAAAACCCGUUUUCGCCGCCAUCGAUUUCGCCGGAGUUUGGGCACACUUCCAGCUGGGUUCUACUCCUCACGUCACCAGCAUCAUUUUCCGACCAACCUCGUCACCUGAAACGGCCGGAUUGCCGGCGAUCAACCACUUGGGAAGCUCGCGGUUUUGGAAGCUCGAUUUGCCGCCGUUGCCGCGCGUGGGAGGUCACCGCCGGCACCAUUGGACUCAUCGUGGCUUUAAAUUUCAGUUCUGAGCUUCACGUUGCUGUCGGAUGAAUUCCGGUGACCGUUGACCGGCAAGGGUAUUUUGGUAAUUUCACAGUCUAAGGGCAAUUUUGUAAUUUCAGAUUUUGUGGGUAUUUUGGUAAUUGCUGUAAUUGAGGAUAAAGUUGGUAAUUUAUGAUUUUGAGGUUAAUUUGGUAAUUUUGAUAUGAGGGUAUUUUGGUAAUAUUGAAUUCAAGGGCAAUUUGGUAAAUUCAUAAACUUGAGGGUGAAUCUGUAAUUUGUGGAAUCAAUGGAUAAUUUGGUAAUUUUAAGUUAGGGCAGUGAGGUAAUUUGAGAUUUCGAGGGUAAUUCGGUAACUUAAGUUGUUAAGGACAUUUUGGUAAAUUUACACUCCGAGGGUAAUUUCGUAAUUUUUGACAUUGUGGUUAU
This 72733-nucleotide long non-coding RNA is filed under the name Citrus x clementina. RNAcentral's name for it is "Citrus clementina (C. clementina) long non-coding RNA (CCLE_LNC003311)". Lineage: Eukaryota; Viridiplantae; Streptophyta; Magnoliopsida; Sapindales; Rutaceae. The record is from RNAcentral.